Molecule: long non-coding RNA, 46751 nt
Filed under: Setaria viridis
Lineage: Eukaryota; Viridiplantae; Streptophyta; Magnoliopsida; Poales; Poaceae
Description: long non-coding RNA (SVIR_LNC007217)
Source: RNAcentral
GUGCCGCACCUGGCAUGACCACCCCUUUAGUCCCGGUUGAACGACCCAGGACUAAAGAUCUCCGCGUCUCAAAAAUUUUAUCUCGGAUGCUUUUUAGAGAGAUUUGAGGCCUAUCAACCAAGACUAAUAUCGAGUUUUCUACCAGUGAAACUAACUAACGUUCACAUGGUUUUGACAUUCACCUGCCAUUUGGUGUAGACAAGGGCACCCUAACAUAUGGUUAAUAUUAUUCUUGAAAGAAAAUCCUUUGAUUCAAAAUACUUCAAACCUAAUAAUACAAUACUUCUCACAUCUGAAAAAUAUGAGACGGCCCGACAGUAUUCUAAUCGACGCAAUAAUAUUUUGAGGGCAGCACUACUACAGCGACCCUCAUUCGUGCCGGUGCUGGGACUCCUAUCACGACCCUGAUACAAAUGAGGGUACAUUAUUGGUGCCAGUGCUAGAACAGCCACGAAUAACUUGCUAAACGUGCUGUUACACUCACUACAGGGACCAAGAAGGUAGAUAAAUUACACGACAUAGCCUUGGUUGCCGUGGAAGCGCCAAGAAGGGAGACAAAUUACAGGGACCACACCAUCAAGUAGAUAGUGACAAUAUGCAAAAGAAUACCCGCGCCUGUUAGCAUGUGAACUGACCACACCACGAAACGUGAUACACGGCAAGCGUACCAAGGCCUUGCUGUGCAGACUAUGCAUGGACAACACAUGGUACCUGACCGCUUUUGGCCUCAGACACAUCGAAAAACUGCAUCGUUCCACGUUGUACAUCCAUUGCUAGUUUAUCUAUAUUACAUAAUAUAUUAUUAGCUAUUUGAAUAGAAUGAACCAAUUAAAAAAUUGCGUUGUAUUUUUAGUACCGGCUGCAGGAUGGUGUUACCAACCAGUACUAAUUGGCCUGUAGGAGUGAUGGUUAUUAGACUUGGUACUGUUGUUAGCAUCAUUAACCUAAUUGUGCGCCGUAUGAAUUUGGGGAUGCAAAGCUAGCUCUCUAUGAAUGUGAGGGAUGGAAAGCUAGUUCUCUAGUAGUAAUUAUAUAUAUGACAGUCAAGAAAUCGAACACUAUGCUGCUACGAGUCACCAUCAUUUCCUUCAUUGACAAUCUGACAUAGGUGAAGCUGCUUCAAUAAUUUCCUUCGCGCAGUCGUGGAGCUUAUUGGAUUAUCACCAGGACGGGACACGGAAAUGGCCAGCAAUGAAGCUGAUUGCCGUCUGAGGAAGACUACAUACUUACCUAUGAAAUGAAGCGAUUGCAUAGACUAAUGAAGCAUUGCAUAUUUGCAUGUGAGUGUGGCAGAUAAUUCUGCAGGACAUGAUUGCAAUCCACGCACCAUCGAGAAGACUGGGGCGAUGGGGUUGCCUCAUCAAUAAUCACGUGGAUGCAUGCAUGCAUGUUCCCGCAACCGGACAAGGGUCUGAUAUAUGGCUAUAGUAUUACUGAGCCCACAUCAAUAAUUUCCACUGGUGUAUCGUGUGGGAAGAAUCAACAUACUACACCUCGAGUUCUUGGAACUAACUGACGUUCACAUGCAACCUCCACAAGGUGCUGUAUGCUUUUGACAUUCACCUGCCAGUUCGUGUAGAGAAGGACACCCUAACGUAUAGUUAAUAUUAUCCAUUUCAUGAGUAAAAUACUGUGAUUCAAAAAUACUUCAAAUCCCUUGAGACAAUACUUCUCACUUGACUAACCACUAACCAACCCCGAAACCCUAACUCAACUCCGAACCCUAACCCCUAACGGCAUAACCACUCCGUUUUGCCGGCGAGAUGGAGGAACUGGCUGGAAGGUAGAGAGGGCAGCGGUCCAGGGUUGAAAACGACGGGCGAGCGCAGUAACAUGUGGAGGAGGAAGUGCCACGUAUUCGUUCACCGCUAUUGGGCAGCGACACACGACACGCCCAAUAAGAUCUUCGCACGGUAGAAGGACGUCAUGUAUUCAAUAAUGUUAUUGGUCCCCCAUGUGCAGAAGGGCGCGCGCGUAUGGAAUAACAAGUAGGGACACUGCAACUAAUCUACUCUGCUCGUCCAGUCCCUAGCCUAUAAAUAGAUGCCAUGCUAGCUCUUGUUGUGCUCACAAUUAAUCCGAUUACACACGAGCUUCUCUCCCUGGCCAAGACACAACCAUAGUAUGAUGAAGAACAUGGCACUAGCCGGCAAUGGUAUGAAGAAGUUAAUCCUCGCUGUUCUCUUACUGUGUCUAGUUAUAGGGCAGAUACAAGUGGAAGCUAAGAGCUGCUGCCCAUCCACCACUGCAAGAAAUGUCUACAAUACCUGCCGUUUCACGGGUACAUCCCGUCCAACGUGUGCAAAACUGUCAGGCUGCAAAAUUAUCAGCGGGAACAAAUGCAAGCCCCCUAACGACCACCUCACCCUUGACCCGGACACUGGUAAAUAAUAAAUUUAUCUCACUUGAUUUCUUCGUGAUUUGAGUCGUUAAUGUAUUUUCCAUCUGAUGAAACGUAUUGGUUUUGCAUUGAAGAGGAAGUUAAUGUGCUUAACUUCUGCAAGUUGGGGUGUGCGUCGUCUGUGUGCAACAACAUCAACGCUGGUAAGCAACUUUUGCUCAGACAGAGAAAACAAUAAUCAUUAAUUAGCGGCAGCUAGAAUCCUAUAAUCUAAUAUAUAUAUAUAUAUAUAAUUUUAUCAGCUCUGGGAAAUGAAGAGGCGAACGAUGCCGUUGAGAGUUGCGACCAAGCCUGCUCUAGCUUCUGCAGCGUGCAUGUUGGCAGCGCCACCGUGGUUGCUUAAGCAAAUGCAUCCAACUAGAUCGUCCUUGUGCUGAAUAAUUGGAUAUCGUAUCCACUUAAAGCUGCCUUGUGUAGUACGUCUUUGUGUCUCUCUUUAUAUUCCAAUAAGGUCGGUGAUCUUGAUGCCACACACUCAGAUGUGUGUUCAUCUCCAGAUACUACUCCAUGCUACCUGCCCUUUGUGUUUUGUUCAAUAACUGGGUAUCAUAUCCCAGCCAGUAUGCCGUCUGUUUUGUGUUUGUUUCCUUCUAGUUCCAAAGGGGUCAUCAUGAUGUUACCUUCUUUCAAUAUGGUGCUUUGCAUGACUACUGUUGUAUGGUACCAUCUUGUGGCCAAUAAGUACAUCUUAUCCUAUGACCUUUGCUAUGACCCUUUGCAAAUAAGUAGAAGAUUGUUAUAAGCGUCAAUACUCCGUAUAAAUUGAUCGCUGCUGUGAGUUCCCUUUCAGCUUAUCGUAGGCAUACAUUAUUGCUAGCACGGUAAAGCCAACCAACACGAAUGAUGAAGUAAACGUAGCGGUACUUCUGUAUACCAACACCCUUACUUAAAUGUACCGGUGUCAUUCCCUACUGGCACAUAUAUUCUUAUAUGCUAGCCAGCUUGUAAAAUUAACCAAUUAAAAUAAUUAUUUCAAGAUAGAAAUAACUUAUCGGUUUCUGGAAGCAUGUGUAAUGUGAAUUCAAGGACUCGACGGAAGUUGAAUCACUUCAUCUAUAUUGCUUUCAGUAUUUUGGGUAACUAAAUUUAACAUUUGCACAUACAAAUGUUAAAGUACAAAUGUUAAAUCUAGUUACCCAAGCAGAAUAUGAAGAUAGUUUAUAGUAUAUAUAUACUAUAUAAAUCUAGUUAACAUUUAGUCUAAAUGUUAAAUCUAGUUACCUAAAAUCCUGAAAGCAAAAUGUAUAAAUAUAUAUCUUUUAAGGCAGUAUAAGCUUCGAUUCCUAUUGCUGCUCUGUUAAAUCUCAUCUUUCGUUGUGGCCCAACACUCUAGUAUGCAUGUUGCACCAAGCUUCUUUGAGCCGCUCUGCCCUCUGAUUUUGCUGCGUAGGGGAAUCUUUAUCAGGUUGGGCUACUUCCAGUUGUGCGAUGUAAAGAUUCGUAUUUUCUAGAAGGUAGACAAAAAACUCGCGUUCUCUUAAGGCAACAACCGGAAGAUUCUGCAGCGCACAGGGCAUACCAUUAUUGUAGAAACGACCUUUAGUACCGAUCUCCAACCCCCUUUAAAACUGGUUUUGCAACCGGUACCGUUAUGUCGGUCCUUUAGUACCAGAUCAAAUAAGUACCGGUUGGUAACCAGUAUCAACUUGUUUUGCGGCCAAAAAAAUAAAGAAAAAAACAGUCAGAAGGCUCGCACACACGCGCAUCACAUGAAAUAUGCGUGUGCGGGGUCCAUGGGAUUCGAACCCAUGAAAUCAAGCUGCACGCGACCCUUCGUUACCAUCUCACCUACAUAGCGCAUAUGCUUUCCUGAAGUAACCCGUGGAGGAGGCUUUAGUACCGGGUCAUAACACCACCCGGUACUAAAAAUGACUCUUCAGUACCGGGUCAUAACACCACCUGAUACUAGUAUCGGAUGGUGUAAUGACCCGAUACUAAAAGGCCUCUAGGGACCCUCAAAUUUGAACCCGGUACUAAUGCUAAUAUUAGUAGCGGGUCAAAGUGCAGCCAGAACUAAAGCAUGGGAUGAAAGGUCAUAUUUCUAGUAGUGUAUAGUUGUUGUGAAGGACUGACUUGGCUGUCCUCUCUCUUCUCCAUCCCCUUGGUCUUACGCCGCCGCUCGCACGCGAGCCGGUGCCCAACCAGAGGAGUGAGAGCUAGGGGCAGGUUGGGAGGUGGGGAUAGUGACUGGUGGCCAGGGUGAUGGUUGAUCCUGGUGGGGUUAGGGUUUCAGGGUUUUCGAGCUUCCUAUGGUCGGCGAACCUAGAGGAGAAGCUCAACAUCAGCUGCAACCCGCGAUGGUGGUGGUUUGGCCGGCGCCCGAGGCGAGGCAGCGCGGGAGUGCUGCCGGUGGGUUGGUGUUGGCACUCAUUAUUGACAACUAUUUUGUUCAUAAAAUAACACUCAAACUUGCUGCUGCUGCUGCUGCCAUCGCCACCCUAGCCAUAAUAUAAAGGCAAAAUUUGCUAAAGGACAUGCAAAAUGAUGCUAGUUUGCUGGCGGGCAUCGUUGACCUUGUAAUAUGCUACAAGACACUCUAGUUGUGUAUCAAUUUGCUGAAAGACAUUGCUAUGACUAAAAUAAUGUUUCUGGACUGAGUUGGAGAGAGAGAUGGAGUGAAAUGUCUGUUUUGCCCAUGACCCCACUGGUCAGAUCCUUCUUCUUCCACCCUCCUUUGUUCUUUCUUCAACCAUUACCCAGCUCCAGCGUGUUGCAGAUCUACGAGGGUGGCGGCCUGGGGCGAGGGGCAUCGCUCGCCCUUGGAGGAGCGCUGCGAGCGACGGCGCGGGGGCGGCAACAGCGCGUCAGAACCUGACUGUUCGUUAGCUCCUCUCGCUGCUGGGGAAGAAGGAGGGGGAUGGGCCAUGGACGGGGUUCCCUUGAAAACCUCAGCGUCGAGCUCGGGCGGCUACGCGCAGGCAGCACUAGGCUGCUUCACGGGGAGGGGGCGCGGCCAAUCAUUGGCACCCCACUGGUCCAAUGCUGAUGAAGAUGGUGCCAGCGUCGUGUGAGGACAUCUCAUCUCCUCGAGUUCCAUGGCCAGCACAGGUGAGCUGCCGCUACCACAAAACAGAGGUUUCGUGAGAGUCAAAAAACCUUAUGAAAAUAGCUAAAACCAUCAUGAAAAUAAUCCGUGACAUGACACUCUCACGAAAAUCCUCUCACAAAUAUGGUGCCAUGAAAAUACCAUUUUCAUGAGAGUGAACUGUCAUGAUUUUAUAAGCGUCAAUACUCGGUAUAAAUUGACUACUGCUGUGAGUUCCCUUUCAGCUUAUCGUAGGCAUACAUUAUUGCUAGCACGGUAAAGAGAACCAACACGAAUGAUGAAGUAAACGUAGCGGAACUUUUGUAUACCAACACCCUUACGUACCGGUGUCAUUCCCCACUGCCACAUAUAUUCUUAUAUGCUAACCAGCUUUGAAAAUUAAGCGAUUAAAAUAAUUAUUUCAAGAUAGAAAUAACUUAUCGGCUUCUCGAAGCUUGUGUAAUGUGAAUUCAAGGACUCGAUGGAAGUUGAAUCGCUUCAUCUAGAUUGCUUUCAGGAUUUUGGGUAACUAAAUUUAACAUUUGCACACACAAAUGUUAAUGUACAAAUGUUAAAUCUAGUUACCCAAGCAGAAUAUGAAGAUACUCUAUAGUAUAUAUGUACUAUAUAAAUCUAGUAAACAUUUAGUCUAAAUGUUAAAUCUAGUUACCUAAAAUCCUAAAAGCAAAAUGUAUAAAUAUAUAUCUUUUAAGGCAGUAUAAGCUUCAAUUCUCUGUUAAAUCUCAUCUUUCGUUGUGGCCCAACACUCUAGUAUGCAUGUUGCACCAAGCUUCUUUGAGCCGCUCUGCCCUCUGAUUUUGCUGCGUAGGGGAAUCUUUAUCAGGUUGGGCUACUUCCAGUUGUGCGAUGUAAAGCUUCGUAUCUUUUAGAAGGUAGACAAAAUACCCGCGUUCUGGAAGAUUCUGCAACGUGCACGUUGGCGCUGCCACCGUGGUUGCUUAAGCAAAUGCAUCCAACUGAAUCGUCCUUAAGCUGAAUAAUUGGAUAUGGUAUCCACUGCUUAAAGCUGCCAUGUUUAGUACGUCUUUGUUUUUCUCUCUUUAUAUUCCAAUAAGGUCGGUGAUCUUGAUGCCACACACUCAGAUGUGUGUUUAUCUCCAGAUACUACUCCAUGCUACCUACCCUUUGUGUUUUGUUCAAUAACUGGGUAUCAUAUCCUAGCCAGUGUGCCAUCUGUUUUGUGUUUGUUUCCUUCUAGUUCCAAAGGGGUCAUCAUGAUGUUACCUUCUUUUGAGGUGUCUAUGAUGACUUCGUUAAUAUCAAUAUUAACCAAUUCAAUCUGUCUUAACUAUUUGUAAGGGGUAUGAUGUAUGCAUGAUUAUAACAAUGAUUGCGCAUACAAUCGCCGCCAAAGAAACGGUCAAUACCAUUAAGACAUAUUACAGACAAUUCUCAUAAUCUAUAAUGAAUAUACAUAUUCACUACUGCAGAAGACUGUCAUUUGUAUCGGCUCAUACGUGCCAGGGCAAAGGUCACCCUUGCAUUAAGUACAUUUGCACGGUAAAGACAACCAACACGAAUAAUGAAGUAAACAUGCCGGUGCUUUUGUACACCAACACGCUUACUUAAAUGUACUGGUGUCAUUCCUCACCGGUAGCCGGCUUGAAAAUUAACCAAUUAGAACAAUUAUUUAUUGUAUCGGUGUGAUUUUUGACCUAUUGGAAUAUGAAUUUGACCGUUACUGCAUUCGUCAAGACUCAAGAGAGAAAUAACUGAUCGGCUUCUUAGAGCGUGUGCAAUGUGAAAUCAAGGACUGGAUGGAAGUUGAAGCGCUAGCACUAGUAGAGAAACGACUUUCCAUCCACCCCCUUUUGUCCCGGUUUAAAGUUGGCUCGGGAUAAAAGGUUCACCAACCGGGACUAAAACUCAGUCACUGGUGGGAGGCUCACCAACCGGAACCUUUUAUCCCGGUUGCAAAGGCUAAUGGGAAAAAAAGACUCUGAGAGGCCUUUUAUCCCGGUUUGAAACACCAACCGGGAUAAAAGACCCCCCUUUUAUCCCGGUUGGUAACACCAACCGAGAUAAAAGGGUCAAGAGCCUUUUAUCCCGGUUGGAAACACCAACCGGGAUAAAAGACCCCCUUUUAUCCCGGUUGGUGUUUCAAACCGGGAUAAAAGGGCCCCCACGAGGUGACUGGAAGGUGACUGGAAGGGGAUUAAAUCGUGGGGGACCCUUUUAUCCCGGUUGGAAACACCAACCGGGAUAAAAGGGGGUCUUUUAUCCCGGUUGGUGUUUCCAACCGGGAUAAAAGGGUCCCCCACGAGUUAAUACAAAAGGAUAGUAUCCCCUACAUAGUCAGAUGUGGUGUGUAGGUGGGAUGGUAAGGAAGCUACGCGCGAGCUCCGGAAUUUUUUUUUUUUUUUUUUGCAGCGUCGGCGCUCUCUACCCUUUUAUCCCGGUUGGUAUUACCAACCGGGAUAAAAGGGGGUCUUUUGUCCCGGUUGAGUGACCCGGGAUAAAAGACCCCCCCUUUUUUCCCCGGUUAGUUUAUCCCGGAUGCAUUUUCGGGAUAAAAGCACCCUACCAACCGGGAUUAAAGCUCACUUCUCUACCAGUGUAGCUUCAUCUUCCGCUGCAAGUUAAUUGCUUGGAUAAGAAGUUGUAGCCGCUGCAAGUUAUAAAUAGUCCCGCUGAUGCUGUGCUCCGAAGUCUAUACUAUAUAUGCGGAAACUAGAUUGCUUUCAGGAUUUUGGGUAACUAAAUUUAACAUUUGUACAUAAAAAUGUUAGUUUACGAAUGUUAAAUCUAGUUACCCAAGCAGAACAAGAAGAUAGUAUAUAGUAUAUACUAUAUAAAUCAAGUUAACAAUUAGUCUAAAUGUUAUAUCUACUUACCCAAAAUAUUGAAAGCAAAGAAAGAAUAAGUAUAUAUCUUUUGUUGGAAAAUUGGUCCACGGAGAGGCCCAUUUAGGCCUCGUUCGUUUCACCGGGAUGGGAUUCCAGUCAGGAUUACUUCCAAGUUCGGUUUGAGUGAUUCCACCCGUGUCACUCAAUCCGGCUAGGAUUCAUUCUAUGGGUGAGGAGGUAUGGUUUCAAUCCAGGCCAUCUAAUGUAGAAGGAUUCCAAUCCAGGCCGGUUUUCGUUCCAGGCCAGACUAAAACGAACAACACUUUCAAUGCAAGUCUGGUUUCAAACCGGGCCAUUUCAAACCACCCGGAAUGGACCUCGUUCCAGGCCAAUCCGGUGAAAACAAAUGAGGCCUUAAUGGAAUCCCAAAGCAAGAGUUCAGUGGCAUUCUAUAGUCCCAUGCUGCUAGUUUGAGUUGGUCGAAGCCAACUUAAAUAGGAGAGCUCUCUCACUUCUCUAAAUACGUAACUGAAGGAGAGAAGGGGGCUUGGGUUACACAACGCACGCACGCACGCAUAUUUGCGUUCUUUUCGCGUAACCAACCGCGUGACUUGAAACUUGCGACGUAGCGUGCUGCUAAGUCAAGUUGAUAUAACCUUUUUGCCGUUUGCAUGUAAUCUUUUGACAACGGUCAUUGGAGGUGAUAAGCACGCAGUCAAUACCUUAAUCUUGAGUUAAUAGGGUGGUUACUACUGCCAAUUAGUGGGGCAAUUUUGUAGGGGAAACGGUUAGCAGAGGGCUACCGUCUUCUCUAUAAGAAGUUCUGGAGACGUCCAGGAACACACAUGUACAUGUGAGAGACCCACAAAUUCCUUCCCUUCUCCCUUUUCCAUGUGGUGAAGUGUGCUGUGGUACUGAGCUGCUUGAUCUCGCCGCUCUUCUCCUUGGCAUGCACCGAGGAGGAGGGUGAGCGGUAUCUCCGAGCUAUUGCCGUCAGGAAGCCUGCACGAGGGACAACAAAAAGUUUUUGGGUAGCGCAACUGCCAGCACAACUCUCCCUCCGCCUCUUCUUCACGGUUGAUGGCCACCACAAGCAUAAACCUCGCCUUCGCAUCCACGCAAAAGGGUCGCUGGGGUGCCUUCUUGCAUCGCUUCUCAGCCUCCUUGACUUGCGGCCAGCCAAGAACUGCGCCACCACCUCGGGUGCACGCCACCACUCCAGGGCUGCUACCCCAUGCCUGCGGCCGCCGCCGGCCACCACGCGUGUGCAACCGCGUCGCACCGCUUCCUUGCUUUGUGCCACCACUGCUGCUGUACCACCAGCUCCACCACCUUGGGCUGGUCGCCAGAGUGACUGAUAACUUAUUAUCUGUAACUACUAUUAACUCAGGGAUACAUGCGUCUUUUGCUUCUCCUACUAAUAUGUCCUAAAAUAUCUAGGAUGCCUUAUAUUUCUGGACAGAGGAAGUAUUUGAAUAAAAUGAACCAAUUUAAAAAAAUGUGUUGUACACUACUACAGAAAGACCUAUCAGUGUCAAACCCAAAAAUGUUGUCACCGCCAGUUUUGGGCAUCAUUGGUGAAAGGUUGGCGGUGAUGGGCUUUCCCUUCAACAACGGCACUGGAGCCGACGGUGAUUGACAUUAGAAAACAAAAAAGGGGACCCUACCUAGCCACCCCUGCAACCCGGCCGGCCGUGCCUCCCCUCAUCCCCACCACCUCGCCUCCCCAUGACCCCCCGCCGGCGCCCUUGCGCCUAGCCCCCUCAACUGCCCAGCCGGCCACCCUCAUCACGAGAGAGAGGUGCAUGUUGUAUAAUUGCGUGAAUUUUUUAAUGUUUAAUUUCAUGUAAGUUCCGUGUAAUAAAUUGUACAAGUUUUAUUGUAUAUAUGAAUUCCAUAUAUAUAUAUAUAUAUUUAUAAUUUAAUGUAUGGUUUCAUGUGUAUAUUUCAAUCAUGUGUAUAUUUAGUAGAUUGCCGAUUUUCUUUUUCUACUAGACAAGGGUUGAUGUAUAAUUACGUGUAUAUGUUUAUUGUACGGGCAAUUAGGACAAGUUUUGUAUAAAUUUCUUUUAUUUGAUGGUUGUUGUAUGGUUUCAUGUAUAUACAUUUAUUGUACUACUUUAGACAAUUUUUAAUUUAAUGUUUCUAUGAUUAGAUGUGUGUAUAACUAAUUGUAUUAUUAGUUAAGAUGGGAGCUAAAGAGGAUGAAAGGUAUAUAAUGGAGCAGAUUAUUGCUAGCUCAAACGUUGCAAGAACCUACACCGAGGGUGAGGGUAGCUAGGUGGACAUGUACCUCAACAUGUCCAGUGAUGGCAAUGACGAUGAGGAGCACGAGCAUGACAUCUAUGAUAAUGCGGAACAAGACAUUGCAGAAUUGGAAGGUUCUAAUGAGGUGUGCUUCAUGUUGACAAUCUAGUUGGCUUUUUUUCGUUGGUCACACCUUAGUUACCAUAGAACUUCGUCUCGGGAGAAGAUUGGUGGUGGUAUGGUGAUUGGAAUUUUAUUUCCACGAAAUCUGAUUUCCAUCGAAUCAUAUCCCUUGUAUUUAUCUUCUUUUUAUUUGUGAGAGCAUCUUCUUUAUGCUUGCAAAACAAUUCAAGUGCACAUACUACCCCUAGGGUGACGAUUGGGAGUAGAAAUAAUUGCCAACAAAACAACACCACAUCCUAAGAUUCUUAACUUGUGGCAUAAUUAGUCUAGUAAAAAGAAAGAUAAAAACCUAAUGGGUGUAUGUGAGUGCAAUGUGUAUAUGCAUAUGAGUGGAAGGCAUAUAAGCAAAGACAAUAUUUACACAUAGUUCUAAACACCAUGUUUACAGCUAGGUUGCUGAAUUUCUCCAUAGCCAUAGAGAUUAAUUAACCAAGGUCAAAACACGAUGUCUAUCCCAAGAUCAGUAAUUAUUUAUAGCACAAGAAAAAGAAAGCGCAUUGCAAAGUUUAUAAACCAACCAAUACAGCAUGAAAACAAGAUGAAUAGCUAGCAAGGUUUAUUAAACUGAAUGAUGACGGUCUGUAAGCAAGUUUAAACACCAUCUUUACACAAGAUUGCAAAUGGAAAAUGCCCAUAUGAAGCACUAACAUGGAUAUGAAAUCAUUCAUCAUAAAGCGUAAAGAACAACCAAGCCAACCAUAUGCAAAGCAUGAAUGGAAUGCAAUGAAGGUGCAAGAGAACAUUUUUGGAUGAACACAUUAUGAUGAUGGCAAAAUGCAAUGCAUGCAGAAAAAAUAAAUAUGAACAUGAAUAUGAUGAUCAGGGGCGGACCCACUAUUGUGGCCUGGGUAUUCCUCGGCAUACCCAAUAUUUUUGGGAAAAUGUUUAGUAGUUUUUAAUGGCAUAUACAUGUAUAAUAUAGUUUAGGUGUUAAAAUUGAUAUUCACAGCUAUUUUGGGCUCCAAUUCGCGUCCAAACCAACCUGGCCCACAGACCGCACCCGGCCGCCCGGCCCAUCGGCCCAUCUUGUCACUGAUCCUCCCACCACCACACUCAGCCCGUCAGUUAGUCAGGUCCCGAGCUCCUGCCUGACCUAGUCCGCUACCACCGCCAGGCGCCAGGCACAGCUGUACACGCCGCCCCCGUCCACCCACGUCCGCCGCACGGCCGCGUCGCGCCCCCCCCCGGCGCCCGCUGCUGCCAGAACCCAUUAGGCCUCCACCGGCAAGUCCACCCACAGUCCCGCGCGACGCGGCAGCCUCUUGGCUCUCGGCGCUCGCGGCGCGCCAAUGCCUGCGCAGCCCCAGCAGGCGACUGCCCCCCCCCCCCCCGCAUCGGGCCUCGGCCCCUCCCCAGCUCCCCCUCCCCCCUCCACCAGGACUGCCUGCUGGCCCCCACCGCGAGGUAAUCGAAAUGGACUGCUCAAUCUCUCAAUCUGUUGACAUGAUGCACACGGUUGCAAAAAUAGAUGUGUCAAAAUAGAUGUAUUGCCAAUUGCUAUAGAUGCAUAUGGUUGACAUGAAGAAGUCAAAAAUGACAUUUGGUUCCUUGUAGGCAGUCAAAAAUGAAGAAGUCAAACAAUAUUGAUCUGAAAUCAAUGCGGGAAAGGGCUACGAAGACACACGGGUAGAUUCCCUUGUGAACUUUUUAUGUCGUUCGUCUAAAUAUAUUUUUGCAAUGGGCAUACCCUACUCUGAAAUCCUGGGUCCGCCACUGAUGAUGAUGGUCUAAACAUAAAACAAGCCUAGAUUAAUUAGCUACAACUGAAAUUAAGCAAAGGUUAAUGUCAUUGACCCUAGCUCUAUCCUAGCUUUUACUAAAGUCCCGGCACAUAUAGUGGUUGGGCCCACUCUCUCUACUUCCCUCUCUGCUGCAUGCACACACACGAGCAACUGGAGGCCCAACAAAGCCCAGAAGGGUUCGGCCGAACCCGUCCGAUCCAGUCUGAGCGCCGCUCCCUCCCAGCCUUCGCGCAGAUGCUCCUCCAACGUUCCUUGACCCCUCCCUCAGUGUCCCAUUGGGUUUAACAUUGUAGGAGAGGAGUCCCUUUUUUAAAAUCUCAACCACCUCCUCUCCUCAUUCACUCCACUCUCAUCUCCAUCAAACUCACCAAGAUCCACAUCGGAAAUACCUGCUUACCACCAUGGCUGGCAAAGCCCUCGUCCCUUUCACCAACUUGGGCUUGACCAUUGAUCUCGAUGGGAAAAUCACUCCAGCAAAUGUCAUUGUCCCUGUCGGCGAUCUGGCGAUGGAGGAGGUCCAGGCACUAGAGGUCGAGCCCCUAGCCAUCAUACCGCCCAAGGGGUAAAGCAGGAGCAUGACAGGCGCUGCUAGGGGUUCAGCCGAACUCCCAGUUCAGCCAAACGAGGACGGCGUCGCCUCGGCCUCCCGCUCGACUGCAUGCUUCCCCUUGCCAAGGAGGACUCCAGAACAGCGGGCGCGUGCGUCAAGUCCCUACAAAAGGCUGAAAUACAAUGAAUAUCCAGGGUCACCCUUGAAGAUGGGUGAACGCUACGCCGGGUCCUUGUUUGACUAGUACGGCGAUGCAUUCUGCCACCGCUAUGUCGUUGUCGAGAUUAGCGGAUCAAGACUUAGACUAGUAAAUUUCUUUUAUGCGCGUAAGGCUUCAGAUGGUGGCGUGGGAGACAUGGGUUUUAUACUAGUUCGGGCAAUGGAAUACCCUACGUCCAGUGUCUGGAGCUGCUUGUGUUGCCCACGCGGGGUUCUGUAGUAGGGGUUACAGGUGUGCGAGAGAGGGAGCUAAUCCCAGGUCUCUUAGGCGUGUUCCGGUCCUCUAGAUGGGAGAAGUGUGUUCUGUUUGCUUGGGAGUAUCGGUUGUGUCUGAGUUGUCUCCGGAGCCUCCUCCCGUCUCAGGUCCCCGAUUCUCCUUUCAUAGCACAAGGAGACCAUCGGGGUUACAGACGAGACCGAGCGUGGGGAGGAGUAAAGAGAUAAACAUAGCUAGGUAAAAAUACAACAAGAAAGGGGGGAACCAAGUUUCUAGGUCACCGGCGUCCUCGCCGGCCUUCGACUUCCGCCGGCGCAUUUGUCGGAGGAGGGUGGCCGCCAUCGCGUUCUGUCGAUGGCUUCCUCGGUGACUGUAGCCACCGGGCGUGAUGAUGGCAUUUCGUCGUGACCCUUUGUCUGUUGGGGGAGGCGGCGGAUCCUGCCAUUCUGCUGACGGCUCGCGGAGUGCGAACGUCGCAUCCCUGCCGCUGGGCACGCGGGGCGCGAGAACGUGCGAGGCUUCCCCCUACCCCAGGCGGCGCAGGCCAUGAGUGCCCUGUGGCAAAUCGGAGGAGGCCGCAGCUACUGUAGCUUGUACUGUGCAGCCACGUAUGGGUACUUGUGGCAGGUUGCGUGGUGGAUGCGGAUAUCCUUCUCCCUGACAGAUCUGCGGCGCAUUUAUGGCGAGAUCGACAUGGGGACCCACAAGACCCGCGCCCAAGGCGGAUACUUGUCUGGAGGGCCCGGGUUAGCCUGACCCCCUACGCUUGGGGUCGGGCGAGGCGGAGACUUGCGGCGGGGCGUCGGACGCUCCCGACACUAGACCUGCGGUCGCGCAAGGCGGAGCUUGGUCUUCCGGGGGUCGGGGGUGCCGGACCCCAGGAUGCGGGGUCGGGCGAGGUGGAGCGUAAUUCUUGCCUCCCAUGUUGGGCCGAUGGCAGUCUUUGUUACCUCUAGUGGGCUUGGGCCUUUAUGUUUUGUUGUUUCCAUGGGCUUCGAGAGGUCGUUAAUAUUUCCCCCCAACAGUAGCCCCCGAGCCUGUGGUGGAGUGGGGGCGCUCCUCCGGAGGCUACUAUCAUCGCCCCUAGGGAAUCCUCGCAGUUGAUCCGGGAUAGGAGGUGUUGUUUGCACGGCUUGACCGAGGGGGUCGAUUAGGCGACGCAUCCUGUGAGCGACUCGGUGCGGGAGGGUUUCUUGUUGUUCCCUUCUGUCUGAGAGCCUUAAGUCGAGACCACCUGCGUGGCCUUUGGUUGCAAGGCCAGCCCCCGAGCCCCCGCACGUUGCAGGGGACCGGUCGGAGGCUAGGUCGACUUUUGUUCAUUACCCUCAAGCGUCUGUUCGCUAGGACGGAGGGGGCGAGCCGUGCCAUGCUAUCCUCAUCGGACGAACCAUGGUGCUCAUUGAGUUACUAACGGGUUGAUUCGAGUGGGAUCCCGGUCCCCGUUCGGGGGGGGUCCGGCUUGGGCCAAGCUGGUGGCGUACCCCAGGCUCCGGUCGGCCAGUUCAUAUAGUUCCUGAGUCCGUUCGGUCGGACCGGGGGCUCAUUGCCUUUCUUCGGGGAAAAACCAUGAACUUUGAUGCCGGUCCAGACUCGAAUGUGAGAUUGAGACGCCCGGGGCUGUCGCGUGCCCGGGUGAUGGCCGCUAGCGGACCCGUCUCCUCUCACCCCUCACUCGGGGGUAUCCUGAGGCGGCUGUCGAACCCGUGGCGGGCCAGCCUUCGAACCUCUGGAUCGUAAUGGGCCGUAGGGGCGUUUUCAGCCCCGUAUCCCUUUUUACCUUUUGGUGGGCCUUGGGCCGAAUCAUGGAGGAGGUCGGGCCUUGGGCCGGAUGCGGAGGAUGUCGUGCCUUGGGCCGGAUGUGGGGGACGUCGUGCGUGUCUUCCGGGAGACGAAGUGGUGGAGGGUGCCAACCCGCGAAUCGAGGGAGGAGGGGAUGUUUCUACUGCAGGUCAUGCGCACGGUUUCCGAAAAGGCAGCGGGCGUGACGGGACGUACCUCGCGCCGCAUUUAUUGCGAUGGGGGCGUCUGUUCUGCUUCCCUCGUGCCUUCCCUAUAAAACGAGGACUUCGCCUCGCCGGUUCCGCCCGCCAUCUACCUUCAAGCCUUUUCGCCUCCUCGCGCGCCCUUAGCUUUCCUGUGCCCGCUUCGUCUUCCUCCGCCCAGUGCCGCGCCCUUUCUCCCCAUCCGCCGUCGAGUUCUUCUCCCUCCGGCGAUGGGAUCCUGGGCGCGUUCCCACUUCGGCCCCUCACGCGCCGAAGGCCUAGUGAGGAAAGGCCUCCUUUGCGAGAGGACGGAGACGGAUGAGUGGGGGUUCCCUGAGAUGGAAGAGGUGCCGACUCCGCCCACCGGCUACGUCGUUUCCUUUGCCCACUUCCACGAGAGGGGGUUUGCGACUCCGCCGAGCCUCUUCUUCCGCGGGCUUUUGUAUUACUACGGGCUUGAGCUGCAGCACCUCAACCCCAACGGGAUUCAGCACGUCGCGGCGUUCGUUGCGGUGUGCGAGGGGUUCCUGGGCAUUGAGCCCAACUUCUCGCUGUGGAAGUACUUCUUCACGGUCAGCCUAUACCAGAAGGCCGAGAAGAGGGGAAGCCAGCAGCGGUCGACCCCGGUGCCGAUAGGGUGCGUCGGAAUCCACCUCUGCCAUACUCGCGCCAAGGAGUAUAUCGCGAUGAAGACCGCGGCAUCCCACAAGGGGUGGCACCAGCAAUGGUUCUACGUGAAGAACUACUCCAACCCCCCCUGCCGGAGUUCACCGGCCGCAUUAUUGAAGCGGCGCCGGAGGUGUGGGUGUACGGCCCGGUGGAGAAGGAGAAGAAGCGGAUCACCGGCCUGCUGCAGGCCAUCGAGCACCUGAAGGAGAGGGGACUGACCGGAGCCGGAGUCAUCGGGGCGUACCACGCCCGGCGGGUGGCGCCGCUGAUGCUCCGGGUCCGCUCGCUCGCCGACAUGACCCCCGGUGCUCUCACCGAUGGCACUGUCCUCGCGACGGGUGCUCUCGCUGCCUCCGAGAUCCGGCAGCGGAUCCGGGAGGCGCUGGAGGACAAGGACGCCGAUUACCCGGUGCCCGGCCACCCUCCGAUGCGCCCGGACGAGAAUUUCAUUGAUCUGGUAAGGAUUUUGCGCGCCAGUUUCCCUCUCUUGCGUUUCUUGGUAUGCCGUUCUGACGCGAGGCCCUCUGUGUUUGCAGGGUAGCAUGACCCGGGUCGUCGACUUGCGUCCGCCAGUGUCGGAGGACGCCGAGUGGCGGUAGCAGAACCGUCUCCUUGCCGAGAAGCAAAAGUGACGCAAGGACAAGAGACAGCGAAGAAGAAGAAGAGGGCCGCCAAGGAGUUCCAGCGGCGGCGGUGGGGAUAGGUCGUGUCGGAUGACGAUGACGAUGAGAAGGAGGAGGAGGAUGACGAGGAGGAGGAGGAGUUUAUCCUGUCCCCCCGGUCAGGGGCGCUUGUUAUCCGGGAGCCGCGCUCCCAAGCGGCCAUGGGGGACAAGGCGGGCGAGCUGCCUGCCCGGACCCGAUCCUGCGAAGCUUUGGGGGCGCGCCCCAGGGGUCGGCGCAGAGCGCCCCCCGGGGGUCGACGGAGCCGACCCCCAUCCCUACACCUGCAGCCCAGGAGCAGAGGAGCAGCGACAAGCGGCCGUUGCCAGAUGCCCCGGGGUCGGCGUCCAGCUCAGAGGCGAAGCGCGCGCGCCGCCCUUGCGCUGGGGGAACGUGAGUUGAAUUUCCUUGCGAAUCUCGUUCCUUUCCAUGCAUUGUGUUUGUUUCCGCUGAUGCUGUUUGUUGUCUCACAGCACCGCCCCUCAAGGCCUUGUCCCGCCGUUGGCGCCAAAGAAGGCGUUGCGGUGUUGUCGCCUCUGCGGGGCGGACCGCGGCUCCGCCGGCGGCGAGUGGCGGGGUCACUGGUGAGACCGCGGGUCCUACCGCGGAGGUGGCCCCUGCGGCGGCAACCGGUGGAGUGGUGCCACCGCCGGGCAUGGGACAGGGUCUGGACCCCGCUCCGUCCUCCGCCUCUUCGGCCGACCCCGCGGUGCAGAGUAUCGCUCCUGGGGGCCCUCAGGCCGGGGAGGUGAUUGACCUCGACGCCGACGAGGUGGAGGAGACGGCGGCGGUGGAGACGGGGGCGGUUGCCCCAGCGGCCAUGACGGGGACGACGACGGCGACGGGGGAAGGAGAGUCUACCCCCGCGGCCACGGCGGGGACAGUGGCGACAGAGGAGGCGGGGACGCCCGCCCCGGCGGCUGCGACGGAGGAGGCGGCGGUGACGGAGACGGGGGCUUCCGCCCGGGAAGCCACAGCCGAGGUGGCAGCGGCGACGGAGGUGAAAGUGCCUGUUCUGGAGGCCACGGUGGGGGUGGGGACGCCUGCCUCGUGGCCACGACGGAGGGCGAGGCGGCCCCAGGGACACUUGCUCCGGCACCCGCGUUGGAGGCGGUGGCGCCGACGGGUUGGCCCGUGGCGGCCUCGACGGGGGCGGGGGUGCGUGCGCCGGGACCGUCGGUGAGGCCGGCGACUUCCGGGAUGGUGGUGCCCGUCUUGACGGCGGCGGCGGCGCGGUCGGCCCCCGCCCUUGCCUCUACCACUCCCAUUCCCAAGGCGUGGAGCGGAUCCGUCCUGCGUUGGUCGUCUCGUGACGACCCGCAGAGGCCCCUCUUCACGUUGGAUGAUGCCACAGAAUGGGGCAAGUGGCAGGCGCUGCAGGGCGGACUCGCUAACGUCCGCGCCGCUCUAUCUUCGGCGUUGGGGGAGCUGGACGGCGUCAUCUUCCCCGGUGGCCGGGUAUGGUGCUUUCUCCGUUGGUUAUUUUCUUCCCGUUACUUCGUCCCUGAUGGCACAUUGUUCUGCAGGCCCUCCAAGAAUGUAGCCGGGGAAAAUCUGAUUUCCUUUGGCUCGAGCAGGGGCUCUGGGAGCGCUUCAACUUGGAGUUGCAGCGGACCGGGGAGCUGACCAUGCAAGUCGCCACCGUCUAGCAUGUCAUCGACGAUCUGCGAAGGCACGAGCAGGCGGCACAGGAGGACGCGCGGCGGGCGGAGGCCAAGUUCCAGGUCGUUGCCGAAAGGGCUCGCUGCGACCGCGAGGAGUUCCAGGCCGUUGCCGAAAAGGCCCGCCACGACGCUGAGGAGCUCGCACGGCUGAAGGUGCAGCAUGAAGCUCUUCAGAAGAGCGGCAGAGGGCCUGGCAGGACCGGGACGCCGAGAAGGUCCGGAAGGAGGAGGCUGAGAAGGUGGCGGCCAACCUUGGGGCUGAGGUCAGCCAGCUCCAAGUGCAAGCGCGAGAGCUUCAGGCCUCCGUGGCCCAGGGGCUCGACCAGGAGCGCCAGCUGAAGGCCUAAUCCGAGGGUAUGACUCUGUUUAUUUCUUUGUCUUUGUGAUGUUGCGGUGAUAUUUUAUUUGGCGGGUUCUUCUGGAUGAUCCUUGCAGAUGAGCUCAACUGGCUGAGGGAGGUGCUUGACGCGGAGCGCGCUGAGCACGGCGACCUGCGGGACGCGGUCCGCGUCAUCUGUGACUUCCUUAGUGUGGUCCAGGGGGAGGGGACGAGCUCGCUGGCGGCUCGUGUCCUCGGGACGUACCGCCGGACCAGCGAGAUCGCCCUGGAAGCGCUUCGCACCGGCUUGAGGCAAGCCUUUGGGGUCUUCGGCUCCCACUAUUCCGGCAUCAACUUCGCCGGGAUGAGCGGGGGAUACGCCACCGGCUACUACGAGGCCGAGCUGGAUGAGAUCGACGUGUCGGUGCUCAGCCCGGCGGAGGCCUUGGUGAAGCUCCUCGAGGAUGAGGCCGUCCCGCCCGAAGAUCCCCGGACGAGUUAACUAUAUCGGGCUGGCGCCCCAGAUGUAAAUACGUUAGGGAAAGACUUGUUUUUUGUGAGGGCCGUAGAGGCCUUUUCUAUGAAUUGUCGUAAAAAAGUUUUUGAUUCCCUUUCUUGCUUUUUGGACUUGGAAAGUUUAGAGCACGUUGUCGGGCGUGUCAGUAAGCUUUGAUGAGCGAAGGCACCGUAGCCGCUGGGGCGUCGUUUUUUUUGCAGUCCGAUCAAUCUUGCCUGAACACCGUUCGUGCACUUUCUCCUUUUUAUGCCCAAAAGUUCAGAAAGAGGGUCGGCUCGGAAAGAGAAAGCGUUUUGAGAGGGUGUCAAGUGGCUUAGGUACUUGCGGCAGGUUGCGUGGUGGACGCGGAUAUCCUUCUCCCUGACAGAUCUGCGGCGCAUUUAUGGUGAGAUCAACAUGGGGACCCACAAGACCCGCGCCCAAGGCGGAUACUUGUCUGGAGGGCCCGGGUUAGCCCGACCCCCUACGCUUGGGGUCAGGCGAGGCGGAGACUUGCGGCGGGGGGUUGGACGCUCCUGACCCUAGACCUGCGGUCGGGCGAGGCGGAGCUUGGUCUUCCAGGGGUCGGGGGCGCCUUACCCCGGGAUGCGGGGUCGGGCGAGGCGGAGCGUAAUUCUUGCCUCCCAUGUUGGGCCGACGGCAAUCUUUGUUACCUUGGGUGGGCCUGGGCCUUUAUGUUUUGUUGUUUCCAUGGGCUUCGAGAGGUCGUUAAUAUUUCCCCCCAACACUAUGAGGAGGACUUGUGGGCAGAAAGUCAGCUACCACAAACUUGCCUCUGAAUAUUUGGAGUGCAAACAUUGGAUGGUGGUUGUGGAGAGCCCCAGCCAUACCUCGCACCCGUGGAGAGGUAAUUGUCGGAUUGCUUGGUUCGUCUCUAGAAUGCGACAAGGUCAGGCGCCACCUCUCACUGCUGCCAGUCAGAAGGCCGAGGGGCCAGUUUCAACAUAGUAAUGAGAAUCUCCGAAGGCCAAUAUGGUUAAGCAGCUAACCUCCAUGAUCAUAGACUUACGUUUAGAAAAUAGGAGGCUUAGCGAUGCGUUAACAGAGCAGAAGUUAGAAACAGAAGAACUUAAGGACGACUUCCGUGUCCUCCGCCUUGGUCUUUGUGCUAAGAUAAAGCGCUUGUACAAUGCCACGGGGAAUGACGGUCUCUACGAUGCAGCUCAAUAGACGUGCCCCUUGUAUCCUUUCCUUUAGGCACUUUAGAAUAUGUUUAUUUGUUUUCCUUCAUUUUAAUUUCCAAUAGAUUGUUAGCGCCUCCAAUUUAAUUUCAAUAAAGUGUAGACUCACCGGUCAUCCAACUUGAUGGAGUCCUUUUGUCACCUAGUUGUCUUUGGAAGAAGUAGCUGGGUACAAAAUAAGUGUGGGGGAGAGCCACAGACUCUCUAGAGCUGAAACAAUGCACAACACCCACAAAUAGAGAAAACCACGCUGCACCAGCACGUACGUGAAAGUGGAGCCAGAGCUGGACCCAUAGGGGUUUGGCCAACCCAAGGGGUGGCCCACUCGGGCCAUCUUCAUCCACCGCGUCGGUUUGUGUCUCUUUACCCCUGAUCUCCCUGAUUCAUGAGUUUGAAUGAAUUUUAAAUCUGAUCAACUAAUUCAAACUCAACUAAAAUGAAUCAACUGCUCCACCUGCUCUACAUGUUUUCUAUGGUUGGCUUGCAUAUGUUUUAUUUCAUGCUUAUCAUCUUGAUGCUUGUGAACAAAUAUCUUUAGGACAGCAUGCUCAUCUAAGUAGUUGAUGUGUAUGAUAUGGUUCGAUGAUAUGAUCUUCACUCUUAAUGCUUAAGUGCUUGGGAAAAUCUAUUUGAAAAUUUAAAAGCCUUUUUGAAAUCUCCUCUUUGAUGUGCCAAAGUCCUACCAAAGCCAUAUGAUAAGUUAUCUUGAAAAACCAUUUGCAUAUGUUGCUUGUCUUUGCAUUGAGCUUUGUCAAAUUGGUGUGACCCUUGUCACAAUUCUUUUCAUACUUUCAUGAUCAAGACUCAUGUGCACGCCAUAUACCCCUUGCUAUGCUUCUAUGAGAUGUUAGCAUUGUACCAUCCAUUCAUUCCACAAAAUAAAUGCUCCACCAUAUGUGUUGGUCUCCUUCUAAGAUUAUUGUUACAAAAGAGAUAUGGGCUAUCAAAAAAAAAUAUGAAUGUCCAAGAAAGUUGGACACAUGAAUGUCCAAUAAAAAGAAAAAGAAAGAUAGCCAUGUCCUCAGAAAUAUUUACAAAGGGAGAGAGAUCAUACAAAAAGGAGUUUCCAUUCCAUCCACCACAUCCAUACAUGUGCACAUCUUGAUCUGAUUGUAUGACUUAUUUUUCUCUUUGGAUCUGGUCUUUGACUUUGCAAUAUAUGUGAUGCAAGCAUGCCUUAUCCUUCAUAGCCUACCUUGAGCUCCACAUAUAGCCAUCAUUAGAAGUAGGAUGAAGAAAGGCAAGUCUAAUGCCUUGGUGAGGACAUAUACACAUUGAGUGAUCUGAGAGAAUCAAAUGAGGAGCUAAGCAAGGUUUUGUUUUGAAAACUAAUUGAAAAAUCCCAAGCUACUUGGCAUAAGGAGUUGAGGUGACUUGAUUCAAGACCAUUACAUUCCUCAACUACCCAAGAUGGCAUGAUAGACACUCCAAAGUUCACAAGUGCAGGUAUGGUUUGGAAUAUCUUUUAGGCUCGCUUCAUACCUUUGAAAGUUAUGUUUCACCUUAGUCCUUUCUCGUUCACUCAAGGAUAAGCAAAGGCUAAGUGUGGGGGUGUUGUUGAUGGCUCUUAAGUACAAAAUCUGCGCCAUCAACUCUUGCAUAAACACAUAAAAUAUGAGCAUCAACAAUAGUGGUAGGAGUUAUUACAAACGAAUUCCACAAGUCUUGGUGAAUAUUUGUAUGCAAGCCCAAUAGGAGAGAAAAGACACCUCAAAAGCAAGGAAACACACUCUCAACCAAUCAAGAGCAAGCACAUGGAACCAUGGGCCCACAACCAAAAGGAAAUCGACUACAUUCCAAACACCCUAUACCCACAUGAGAACCCAUAGGGCAGUGACCCAGAGCAAAGGUGAUGCCAGAGUGUAGAUGGUAGUUAGCAUGCCAAAUUUUGAACCGCAAGCGCUCGGAUUAGUUGUUUCUUUUCCCUUAGAGAUUCCCCCAAGGUUUAUCAAUCCAUGGAACAAGGGAUUUGCACGUUUCACUAAGCACUAAUCAAUGUAAUUGAAAGCUUUUCGAAUAAGAUAUGAUUAUGCUAACAAAGGAACUAAGCAAUCUAGAUUAAGAUGGAUAGAGAGUACAGGUUGUGAACAAGAUAGAUUAAACGCUUGUAGAUGCAAUCACCAUGCAUGAAUGAAUUAGAUCUAGGUGUUAUUGUGAGUGGUUGUGAACCAUGCCCAACACUUUCCCACCCGCAACAUUGUCACUACAUGUGGGUACUCAACUAUCGGAACAUAAGAACACAUCAAGAUGAUCAUUCUAGGUAAGCAAAUAAGCAACCCAAAGUAGCGCUGGCCAGCCUUUUCAUGAAAGAGCAUCAUCAAGAUAAGAUUGAUAACAAAAUAGAUCUCAACCAAAGGUUCAGCGAUUACAAAUCAAGAUCUUCGUAUAACCCCGAUGACAAAUAGAGGUAUUACCCCCAUGAUCUUACACAUGUUGAUGAAUUUUAGGGUAAAGGACACCCUGUAGAUCAACUGGACCAAAGAUGAUGAUGAACGGGGGCAGGGAAGGCCCAGGUUGAUCAGCCUGCGCACUUUUGAGCCGAUCAGCUCAGGGGGUUUCCUCCUCCCCUGGUGCUCCUCUUCGCGUGGCCUCCUCUGGAUCCAAUCUUCUCUUCAUUUCUCCUACUUGUGGCGGCAAUGGAUGGUGUUUGCAUGGUGAUUUCCUCUUCUCCCCAACUCUCCCUCCUUGAAGUCCAUGAGGGGGUAUUAAUAGUCUCCAAUAGGCGGCAGCUCUGGGUCAAUGUCAGUGAAAAAAUCCUAGAGAUCAUCGUACACUUCAUGCUGAGGAAACAAGAGGUUGACCGAGCCCUGGGAUAGACCAAGAGGAUCAUCCUAGAGGGUCCCAGGCUAAUCGGUCUAGGCCCUUCCUAGCCCUUCUAGUCCUCUCCUUCCUCGUGCUGGCUUUUCUCGAUGACCCUUGUCCAAAUAUCCAUGAAGCUCUAUAUACAUACCCCCUUGAUUAUGUUGUAUUUCCUGUCAAAAUACAAUGCUCCAAAAUACAACACAUAUGCAAUAAUAGGGUUAUUUCAGGUGCCAAUUGGUGGGUUAGUAUACGAAUAAGCAUGAAAAUACUGUUUAAAUGACACUAAAAGUGUGUCAAUAACGAGCACCAACAAUCCCCCCACGCUUAGAUCUUGCUCGUCCUCGAGCAAGUCUAGCGACUAAAAGAUCUUGAAUUAAACCUGAGCAAGCGAGUCAAGUACCUAGCCUUGAAACAAAAGAUUAGAGGAGCAGCAAAGAUAAUCAAAGUCUGGGUGUUCAAAGAUUUAUCUAAGCAAAGAUUCCCCUACAACUAUUAUUCAGAACCAAGUAACUUCAAAAAUCAACUACACUUAUUUUCUGGCUUUUUUCAGAGGGUUUUUCUUUCAUCAUAAAACAAUCUCCCUGCAACAAAAUUGAAAAAAGAAUUAUUUUCAAGGUGCUUACAUGUCGCUUAAAUGAAUGUUGGCUAUCCUACUUAUUUGCAAGCUCUCAUCUCUCAAAAUUCAUUCAAUUAUAUGGUGGAGUUUGGGUAAGGUUAGCUAGAAUCAACACGUAUAUUAUUGAAUUAAGAAAACCCUCUAACGGUGGCCUACCUUCCGAGCCAUUGAUCAUAAGAAUAUCCACAUAAUGUGAAGUUUUCAAGGAUGAGAAGAUAUAGAAUGGUGGACAUGUGCAAAGGCAAAGAAAUAUAGUGACUCUGAGGCACAAGCAAUGUCCUCGUCGUUGGAUUGCAUAUGGUUGUAAUGAAAAUAUGUUCCUUAAACAAGUCUAUCUUUUCUUUGCACCACUCUUGAUCUUCAUGACAGUAAAAACUCCUCCUUUAUUUCUUUCUCUCUUUUCCUAUUAUUUCUUUUUAUUUGUCUCAAUACUUUUAUUUCUUUAUUUCUUUAUUUUAAUCUCUUCUCUGAACCUCUUCUGAACACCACAUAAUAAAAAUAAGUUUUAGAUCCUUCCAGAGACCUUCCAGGAAUUUGCUACAUGAAAACCGAGGCAAGGAGACCCCAGGCCGAUUGGCCUAGCCACUCCUUUGCUCUCCUCUAGCUCUUCUUUCUGGUGAAGCUUCCUUAUCUUGUAUCUUUCCAAAAAUUUCAUAAAGCUCGACUAGAAACGGAACAGAUCUUCAUAUAAUGAGUUGUGUUCAAGGAAUUGGUAAUAAAAUUGAGAAAUUUGUGGUUCGGGUUUACGAAUUCAGUACAAAAAUAUGAUUGUUCCAAUGAAGAACUCUCAUUACUGAAUAUUGACGAGGCAAGCAUUCAAAGAUGGUAAAAAGGAUAUGAUCAAUUCUCAAAAUUAAAGCAAACCAAGAGAGAGCGAUCCUAAUUCAAUUCAAAGUGUCAAAUGUUGCUUAUGGUGGUAUGAAUAAAUAUUUUUAGGCAUUGGGUAGGAUAAAUAAAAACUCUCAACCUGGUUAAAAGAUAUUGAUCAAUCUUGUUUUUGCAGAGGUUUUAAAUAAAAAAUAAAAUUUUAAAUCACCUCCAAUUCAAAGCCUUACUCAUAAAUCAUAAUCAAAACUGAAGCACUUGAUCAUCAUAAAGCAUGGGUAUUGCAUAAACAAAUCGAUUACUAAAACUCCACAACUACGAUUUAGAAUUCAAGACAAUGCUCAUAAUCUAAAGUUGCAAAGAUAAAAUAAAAGACAACCAAGCCAAGGUAGACACUAAAAACACUUGCACGAUCCUUGAAUUUUAUUCAUGCUUCUUCUCACAAAGACGCUAAAGUAGCCAUGUAGGCCUAAGUCUUCCCAAAAGCUUAAGAAAACUACUACUUUAUCUACUUUUGGUUGAAAUAAAAAGACUAAUCUAGACUCUCACAUGAUUCGACUCGACCAAAUUAGAUCCAAAAACUCAUACGAGCGACGAUCUCCCCCCCCUCACGCUUAAAAUCUACGACCUCCUCGUCGUAGCCAUAUGGAGUACAAGGAAAAGAAGCUUGUAAACGCUCUAAUGACGCUACCCGCACUACUUGCACACGGGAUGGUUGCUGCUUCCUUCGCUUUGUUCUUCCUCAUGUUGCUGCACAUCCCGAAGAGCUUCCUCACGUUCCUCUGCAAGAACUUGAACUCGUCCUCCUGACGGCGAUCAUUAUCUUCUGCCUUUUGAUCCAGAGCUUGUAAGGCUUGCAUGAUGUCAUCGAACGCAUCGAAGAGGUAGUGGAUGUUCUUCCUGCAAGCUGUGGAACAUGUACGAUCAUGCUCCUCCGAUUCUGGCCCGUCGUCUUCUAGAUCCUUCUCUUUGCCCUUGUCUUGACGGUGGCUAUCUUGCUCCUUGCUCGCCUUCUUGCCUUCAGCCCAAUCCCAGUACGUGUUGUCAUCUUCUUCAUCGUCACGGCCUGCAGCACCCUAUGAUCCAUUGUCUAUCUUGUAUGAAAGAAUCAGAAGCUUGUUCUCCUCAGGGUGUCUUGCGCGGUGCAGCGUUUGCAAGUGCAAGACUUGCUAGUUCCUUUUACACAUUGUAAUGUUCAUUGCAUGCUCUAAUUGUUCUACAUUUGUAAUUUCUUGGUGAAGUUUGGUUACUGAUCCACUGUUUGAUUAACUCUUGGGCCCAAACACUGUACUACUUCUGAUUAGAUAUCUGUAUCUUGACUUUGACCAAAAAAAAUAUCCGGCAGUUUUUGCCAUUAAAGUUUCAUAAAUCAUCUUGCAAAAAUCGUACUAUACAACAAGGGACGGUUUAUUAUAAAAUAUACGUUCCCCUUAUCACAUGCCACUUCCACUCAAAAGGCAACGAAUCAGUUUUCAAUCCUGAGUGAGCAAUUUGCUUUUAUUACCGAUGCCUCCUAUUCCCUUGUGCACCAAGUUUAUUUUGGAUAGGGCUGCAAAAAACGACUAACCAGCUCGGAUUCUCCACCUGCAAAACCGCAUCUGCAGCAACCAACCCCACGCGGUGGAAAAAAAAACAAAACCUAGAAACCGGACGGGGGUGGAUGUGGGGCUCGGAGCCCAAGCAAAAAACGGAUCGGGAGCGCCGGAGCAGGCCAUCACCGGAUGUUAGAGAUAGAAAAUGGUUGAAGUUUGGAGUGGAAAUCAAACAAGCCUUGGAGCAAAGGAAAAAAAAAGAUCAAACCACUCAAGCAUUCAUUUGAUUUAGAAAAGAGAACAUUUGUUAAGGUGGGGAGUUGAAAUCAUCUUUUAAUUAGUUCCACGUAUCUGGUAUCAUUACAGUUGGUUUACUUGUGUAAGUAUAAGUAGCUCUGCCGAAGCCUUUGCUCCUAUAAUUUAGUAACUAGUACAAAUGGAUCAAUAGGAAAAUCAAGUUGCAAUCAUUUCUCAGCCAACCAAACCUAUGUAAAUCAAAUUAUUGUCCAUGCCCGGCAUGCACAGGUGCCUGCCAUGCAUGCAUUGUUGCUCCAUUGUAAUAACCAUUAUUGUCCAUCGAUGUUGCAGCGCAUGUGUGCACUGUGCAGACACCAAGCAUCGAGAUUAUGUACUAGUAAGGUGUUGAAAUAAUGGGCCUAGCCCAUAAGUAAUUUCAGAAUUUCAAAUAAAUCUCAAAGGCCCAUGUGGGCAAGAGGUGGAGUGGUGCAAGUCUUUAGUCCCACAUUGCUAGUCGAGGGGAGGGAUGACCAACUUAAAUAUGGAAGUUGUCUCCACUCCUCCAAGCUAUGUGUGAAGGGCGCGGGCGCGAGGCACUUGCGUGAAUGGUCCGCCGAAAUCUGGCCCCCCUUGCGGGGGCGCGGCUUCCUUUUGCCGUUUUAUUUUUUGGUUACUUGGUCGUUAAGUCAUGGAAUCCUAACCGGUUUAGAUCACGAUCGUGAAGGUUUUUGGGAAGCGCUCUGCGCGACUGCUCGAUCGCUUCUUCCGCUUCGUCAAGUUCUUCGUCGACUCCUUCACCACGGCUCGUCUACCUCUUCGUCGCUCGGGCCUCACUCGUCGUCGCGAACAACGUCAGGCUGCUGAUCGUCGUCGCCUGCUGUAUCCGGUAGUCGUCCAGGAGCCGGUUUUCAUCAAGAAAGAAACGUACGGUCUCUUAACUCACAUUAUGUCUUCCAUACUAGCUAUUAUGAUUGUUGCAGUCUGAUAGCUCUGGAUAGUAUGGUAGAAUGUCUGAUUCUAUUUGCAAUGAUAGACUUGUCUAGAUCUUGCGUAGACAUGUCUAGUUUAAUCUGCUGCUUGUUCAUCAUAUUCAUGAUUUAUUUCUGGAUUAAGUUAAAACUAAAAGUGCUUAUAUAUCCAACAUAAGGUACCAAGAACACGUGAAGCACCCGGGGGAGGCUGCUCCACUCCGCAUGCACAGGUGGGCACGGCACCACUACUCGUCUCCUUCAGGCUGAGGAUAAGUGAUGUACGCUGAUCAACAGACCACGACGGAACCAGCAAUAAUAGUUUCAGCCUGCCUCACAGUAAUUAAUAUAUCCUGUAUCCUCCGAGGACCCCUCCCCUUAAUCUUGGCCUAUUGCAUCCAAUAAUGAUAUGUGUGUUUAUCCAAAUUUACGGCACCUUUGGCGGGGGUUCCACCCAGCUCCGCCCUCUCCACCUUCGGUACUCCAUGGGAAACCAUUCCUUUGGAAUCAAGGAAGCUUGAACAGUAUAACGAAUAAAGUUUCAUAUAUCCAUUUGAUUUCACAUGAAAUAAAAUAUUCUGUCAGAACCAAUGGUUUCACUGAAGCUCCAGGCAGCGAGCGAAGGGGUGAGAGAGGAUAACGCUUACUGUGUGUUACCAUCGCGUGCACCAUGGAUGACCAACGCGCAGCCGAGAUGAAACGGCGGACCUAAACAGGUCCUCGCUAUUUUUGCAGGUUCUCGACCAGGCCAGUUCUUUAGGCCAACCUAUCAUUCACGAGUUAAACAUACGGUGGCUGGAGAAAUGUUCUAUUCUUUUAAACAAUACCAGCUGGUUCCUCCGUUUUUAUUCCACCAAUACAAGCACCACCUUGUAACAUUUCCUAUGUUUUUUUUCCUUUCGUCUGUUUUCUCACUACAUGCGUUGCUCUUUCAUGCAUUUUUUUCCAUUCCUGUAUUCCAAAUAGGUCUACAUGAACACAAAAUGAACUAGGGGACAGAAAAAGCCAGUGAAGUUAGUUUUGAGCUUCACCAGCUACUUGCUACAUAAAGUGUGCUAUAGUCGCAGAAAAGCUAAGCUGGAUCAGACGUGGCCGAAACAAUGCCAAAGAGCUAGGUCCCUAGCUGAUGGCAACACAUCAGAUGACUAGCCUGCUUUUCUGUAAUAAUGAUAUUGAGCAAUACACUGCAUGGCUAACCUGCUUUACAAUAAUUGUCAUUUUAUAAUAUUGGUCAUCACGAGAGAUGCACAUUGCAUACACCGGCCCAUCCCUAUAAAUAGCCAAGCCUUUCAGCCAUCUUGGGCACCUCCUCUCAGGGCCUCGUCUCACCAUCAGACAUCUCGUUCCCAGUUAUAAUUUGCGAGGUUAGAUCAGGCUGCGCCAUGGCGUCCGCAACUGCUGUCAAGAUCGUCGCCACCUUCAUGCUGGUGCUGACCAUGGGCCACCUGAUGGCCGAAGCAUCACCGCAGCCUCGGCGUGUGCUUGCAGAAACGGAGCAUGCUGCGGUGUCCGGGAAUCCUGGCCUCCCAGGUGAUGCUAGCGUCAUGCAGGUCCUCGAACCCGCCCUAGUUUCUCGGCUUGCCUGCAAACCAGAGUGCACAGUCCCUUGGCCUCCUUUUGUAUGUAUCUGCUAGAUCCUCUUCCUGGCUCAACGGAACUUCAGGGAAAUGGCUGUGACGUCGGCCAAAGAAUAAAUUGGAUGAACAUAAUAUACCCCGGGUAGUGUAGCUUGGGCUUUUGUUGAGCGUCUGGUGCUAGUUGUAUUUUGUUUGCUCAUGUGGCUUUGCUUCUGGUUGCAUAUUGGCUUUCCUAUCGCUCUCUGUUGCAGCUAUGGUUUCUGCCAGGUGUGUGUUAAUGCGGUUUGUAAGCGGUGCUUGUUCCUACCUUCUGUUUUCAAUAAAAGAAGUCGGAGUCUCCCUCCGACUCUUGUUAUCAGUCAACAAAAAUGAGUUGUAUCAUAUAUAUCUGCGUCUUUUUUCUACGUAUCUUUGGGCUGCUUCAGCUGGAAGUUUAUCGUAAGUACGUGUAUCAGGAUGAUCGUUUGAAUUAAAACGAAAUGAUAAUGUGUGGCUGCUAGAAAUGGAAUGAGCAUCUUACUAUAUUACUAAUUGGAAGCCUCCACGUGAAGCCACCUAGAAAUUCUAGGUGGACGUUUUAAAAAAAACAAAACUCAUAGAAGCCUCCACCACCUAGGAAUCCUAGGUGGACACUCUAAAAAGAGACAAAUCCUAGAAAUUCUAAAAAAAGAAAAAAAUAAUAACAAUAAGAUUUUUUUGCAGUCAAUUACAUAUAUUUUUUUGAGACACCGUGCUGCUAGCUCUUGCCAUUGCGACCAGUAAAGCAAGCAGAUAGUAAGAUGACAUGCGUGUGGAUUGAUUAAAACAAAUUCAGUUAGUUGAUUCUAAAUCGUAUGUAUCCUAAAAGGAAGAUAUGUGCGUGCAUGGUCCCUAGCGAUGACAUGUAGACAUGUAUUGCAAUUUCUUUUUUAAAAAACAUGUCUAUCUCUAAACCAACAAACAGAAAAAAUAUCAAUCUAAAUCUAAAUCUCUUCCGUUCUCACACGCCUAUUAAAGAGAAGACAACCAAUCCCAUCCAUGUUCCAUAGAAUCCAUCUAAAAGCUUGCUCACUGCGGACGGCAUUUGACGGCAAAUCAAUGAAAGAUCAUCCUCUCCAAAUAGCUGGACGGCAUCACCAUCUUUAUCUCACCAACCUACAGAGCUACAACGAUGUUGUAGAGAUCAACUAGGUAACCUACCAAUCACCCUCCCCUUUUCUAUAUGCUCUAAAGAACACGUGGAGUAAUUAUAGGCCUAUAGGAGCCGACUAACCUAGAUUAAUAUGAAAAAUAUUCCAAUAUUAAAAGCAAGCAGAUAGUAAUACUUGCCUUUGACCAUUUUUCUAGAACUGUUAUUCCUAUUGAAUGUUCAAGUGCUACGGCCAGGCAUCGAAUGCCUGCACGGAACCUUCCUAUUGAAUGGUUACUCUAGAGAUCAACGCACCGCGAGACAUUUUUAUGGAAUUUGUUUGAUUCCCCUUCUACAAUUAGAUUAAUUUUUCAUGGCAUAUAUUACUACUAUUAAAUUAUUUGUUUAUUGUCGGGCCUGCUGCAUGUGUGGUAUAUAUGACUUGCUUCUCACCAUUGUUCUCAAACUAUUAUUCCUAUCGAAUCUUUCUAUCGAAAUAUAUUUUAAUUACUUGAUUGUUGUUUGUGUACCAUAACUUCUGUAUAGAAAAAUUCCAUGUUUGUAGAUAAUGUCUUUUGUAUAGAAAAAUAGCCCAAUUAGAUCCAUCACCAUCUUUUGCUUAUGUAGUUGAACAAGUUGCAAUGUUGAACAAAACUUUAAGUGAAAUUAGACCAGGAAAAGGAAUUGUGGAACAUUAAGGCAAGGGUAACCAGAUUGUGGAAUGCAACCUUACUCAGUAGUGGCGAACAAUUAAGUCUUGACAUGAUCCUUAUUGAUCAAAAGGUAUGAUAGAUGUUCACUUUGAUUGCAUUAUUGGUAUAAUUUUUGGUUUACAAAUUAUUAAUGAUGAUGCAAAAUUAGGGAACCAUGAUCCACGGUGUUAUCAAUAAGCCCUAUAUGAAAAAGUUCAAACCAUUGAUUGAAGAAGGCAAUGUGUACAUAAUUGCAAAUGUCAGAAUCACACCAGAACCACAGAAGUAUCGGCCAGUGGAAAAUGACAGGAUAGUCAACUUCUUACCCACAACUGCACUAAAAACGAUCAAAGAUACUGAAGACAUUCCAAAGUAUAGUUUUAACUUCAUGAGCACGGAUAUGCUUUCAGCAAGAAUAAAUGUGGACAUGUACCUAUUAGGUAAAACAUUACUGGCUUUUCAAUUUUUACACUUCCACUCAUUAAAUGACCAUCUAAUAAUAAUACAUAUUUAUGUUUCAUAGAUGUUAUAGGUAUCUCAGCUCACAUUGGACCGAUAGAAGAAACAAGGACAAACUUCGGAUUUACUAAAAUCCGUGAUAUUGUGCUCCUGAUCGAGUAAUUCUCUUUUCUUUUGUAGAAAACAACUACAAAACUUUCAACAUUUACAUGUAUGUUAUAGAACUUCUGUUGAACUAAAAAAUAUCUUCUACAGUGCCCCUACAAAUAAUUAAUUUCGUAGUUGGAUAUUUAAAAUAUUUAUUAUUCACUUUUAAAUUUGUGGCCAUGAAGUUAAAGUUAGAUUUUGGGGAGACAAAGUUGAGGAAGUUGAUGAUAAGACAAAAUCCCAUGUCAUUGCAAUAACAUCUACAACUGUGAGUAAAUUUGGCAGUAAGUCUUCAUUCAAUAUGAGUUAUUCAAUAUUAGUCAUUCAACAAACUAACCUCGUAAGAAAAAUAAAUAAUUGAUGUUUUAUCAGGGUAUUCUCUAUCGUCAACCAAUGCAACAAAACUUUAUGUAGAUCUACCUAUUCCUGAAACUAAGGAUGCACAUGAUAGGUGAGAAAAAUUAGAUAUUGUUUUUCUAUUUUAAUCUAUGUAGCAUGCACUCUAACAUGAUACAUUCUUUCAUAUGAUAAAAAAAUGUUAGUUCAAUUGAAAAUAUUGUCAAAGAGAUUCAUAUUGAGGACCAUCUAAAAGGGACAUUGGAAGACCAAAUGCAGUACAAUAGAAGAACUUUAGAAGAAUUAAAUUUCAUAUUAUUUGAAACAUCAAAUCAGGUAUGGAUUAGUAUGUUCAUUGUACACUAUACUAUUUAAAGACUUACAUACAUAAUGAUGGUAUUGUUCCUACUUUCAGGAUGAGGUAUUUACUAUUGAAGCAACAAUAAAUGAAAUUAAUGCAACAUAUGGUUGGUUGUCACACCCGAUUUUAAGGACAAAAUUGAGUGCAUUAAAUACAUGUGCACCAGGAUCAAGUUACACACAUCCUAUGAGUACCGUCCUUCUUUGGCACAAAGAUAACCGGUGCUCCCCAUGGUGAUGAACUAGGCCGAAUAAACUAUUUUGCUGAUAAUUCCUCUAGUUGUUGUUUCAAUUCUUUUAAUUGUUCAACCAACAUUCUAUAAGGACGUUUGGAGAUAGGUGCAGUACCAGGUAAAAGAUCAAUAGCAAAUUCAAUGUCGCGGUCAGGUGGCAUACCUGGUAAAUCGUCGGGGAACACAUCCGGAUAGUCACACACCACUUUGAUAUCUUCCAAGGAUUUUCCAGCCAACUGAUUAACUGCACAAUCUGCUGCUGAGGGUAGAGUAGCUACAAACUCCACUUUCUCUCCAUCAGGACCUGUUAGCAGAACUGUCCUCUUGGCACACUGAAUCGUUGCAUCAAAAGCGGCUAACCACCUCAUCCCCAGAAUUACAUCGAUUCCACUGGACUCAAGGACGAUAAGAUCAGCCGGAAACUCUAUACCCAUUAUUCUCAGUUUAACUUGUGGACAGAUGUAUUGAGCCUUCAUUGACCCCCCAGGUGAACUCACUAGCAUAUGACGCCUCAUGGUAUGCAUGGGUAAAUUAUGCUUUGCUACAUAAUGACUAGUGACAAAAGAAUGCGAUGCUCCAGAGUCAAAUAAAACUGAUGCGGGGGCAGAGUUGACAAAGAACAUACCAAGCACUACAUCUGGAGCCUCCUUAGCAGUCUCGGCUUCCAUGUGGUUCACCUUGCCACAAACAAAGCUUUGCUGCCCCUGAUUGCCUUGUGGGGUCUGGUUCCCAUUCCUCGGUUGCUGCAUCUGAUUCUGCCGAGGAGCACUGCUGUUCUGCACGGGGGUAGCUGGCCCACCUCUCUUAGGACAAGAGCUGGCAUAGUGACCAACCUCGCCACACUUGAAGCAGGUAGGACCCACUGGAGCAUUGGGCCUUGUUGGAGUGCCAGUAGGGGUCAUCUGGCGGUUCUGCGUAAAGCUUGGGCGCGGAGUCUGCAUAGUCUGCAUCCCUGGAUGCUGGAACUGAGGGCUAGGGCGCUGGAAUGACUGCUGAGCAGGGCGCGGAAAUGAGUGCUGCCAAAAAUUCCCACUCGGGCCCCCUGCGCGGAACGGCGUCCCUUGCUGUGGAGCAAAGCGAGGGCGGGUGUUGCUUCCUGAAGACUACUGGGAAUUGAAUUUCCUCUUCAUCUCCCCGAGCUCGUUCCUCUUGUGUUCCAGGCCAAUUGCCUUGUCUAGCAUCUUCUGGAAACUGGGGAAGGUGUGCGACAUAAGCUGAUAUUGGAGUGGUCCAAUCAACCCAUCCAAGAAUAGCUCCUGCUUCUGCUCAUCAUCAGCAACAUCUUCGGGAGCAUAUCGGGACAACUGGACAAACUUGUCCCUGUACUCUGCCACUGUCAUGUUCCCCUGCUUGAGAGCAAGGAACUCCUUCUUCUUAAGCUUCAUCAAUCCGGAAGGAAUAUGAUGACUUCUGAAGCUAGUCCUGAAUUCAUCCCAGGUGAUGCCAUUAGCAUUGGCAUGGGUGGUGGUGUAAGCAUCCCACCAAUCAGCAGCUGGCCCUUCCAGGCGUCCUGAAGCAUACAGGACCUUCUCCCUGUCAGUACAUUGGGCGAUAUCCAGCAUCUUCUCCACUGUUUUCAGCCAAUCAUCAGCAUCUAAUGGAUCCGGAGAAUGUGAAAACGUCGGGGGCUUGUGGCUCAUGAACUCCCUAUGCCUGUCCCUUGGCGGCGGCUGCUGCUGGUUGUUGUUGUUGUUAUUGUUCAGCUGAGCUUGUAAAGCUGCCACGGUGUUGGUCAGUCCGGCGAGAAGCUGAGUCUGAGCUGCUAGAAACUGCUCCAUCCCUGCAGGUGCUUGUUGGUUCUGUUGCGGAGCGGUGUUGGGAUUGCUGCUGUUGUCCCUGUGGCGUGGCACUGUGGGACGGUCAACUCCUGAUCCGGACCUGGUGUUUACCAUCUGAGCGUUAGAGACAAUGGAUUUAGAUAGAUGUGUGAAAGAAUAACUGAGAAAGAUAAAGCGACCAGAUGUAAAAGUAACACAGAUUCUGUUAGCUCCAUUUAAUUAGGUGUGGUCGUCAGAAGAAGUGUCCAUAAAUUCUGAACAAUUACCAAGUCGUAACUUAUUAAAUUUGUAAACCAACCCAACUGGAAUCAUCUCAAUCGGACUUCUGGAUCUCGAGUUACAAAAUUAACAAGCUGACAGUGUCGGUCGAUAGGUUCAGAUUCUGAGUGCUUUACUAAUUCGCAUACACCUCCCAGACAGAUACACCAAAAAUUCUGAAAAAUUUACAGAUAGUACUCCACGAAAUUCUGAAACUAACCCCACUGGUUUCAUGUCAUUUGGACUUCUGUAGCUAGAGAUAUAAAUAAAAAAGUACUGGCGUGUCAGUUAAUGUCGAGAACAGAAUUGAAUGUCGCUUAGCUUGCGUGAUGGAUAGAUUUAGACAGAUGGUAGAUCAUGAUUAAGGAAGAUUAAAUACUGAUUUAGAACAGAAAUAAAACCCAACUAAGCACUUUAUUUAUUAAGACCAGUAUCGUGUGGCAAUUGCCCCACAUACCGCACUCAUUACAAAAUCCAACUCAAACAUGUAGCACAAAACCAAUCAUCUAAGCACACUUUAACUAACACACUCGAACGACGUCUAACGAUUACAAGAAUUUAAACUAAAACACUCCUAAUUUCCUAGAGGUCUUCUGCGGCGGUGCCGGGCGAGUCGUAGCGGGGACGCUUAGGCGACGGCGACGAAGCGGGAUGAACAGCAAACUCCUGCGGCGGCGGUGCUCCCGUCGCGGCAGCCAUAUUCGCAUCCCUCUCCCACCGGAGUUCCUGAACCUCCUGUUGAAGCUCCUGGAUGUGGUUGUUUGCUUCAUUCAAUGCGGUGAGAGCUGCCGACGUGUACUUGCGGAGGAAGUCUGUAGCCAUGUCAACCCCAUCGUUAGUAGCGAUGAAGGUUCUUGCUUCCCCACUAGCUCGGUAAGGAAGGAACCGAUGGUAAGUGUGCUGCAAUCGCGGCCGUUCCUUGUGGGAGACGACCUCAAGUGCCCUCCUGGCGGCCUCGGCAAUGCCGGAUUCCAUGGUCCUCCUUAUGGUCACAUCAUGGUGAAAAGCCUUCACCUCCCAUCCUCCCUCGUGCUCCUCACGAAGGACAACCUUCACCUCCCAAAAAGUGGGAUAGCGAGGGUGGGUGAACCGGGAGCACUUGUAGAGUGGCCUCAUGCCGUACCCCAAGCGGUGACAAGUCCACCUGAGUAUGUCGGCCAUGUGCACUCCUUGGCCAUAAUCUUCCUUCACCCAUUUGAUCCAUGUCUCGGGCUCGGGAUCUGCUUCGGGCUCAUCAUCCGUCAAGUCGACGACCGGUACGGGCGUCGGGGCUGGUGCAGGAGCGGGCGCCGGUGCUGGCGACGGUGCUGGUGACGGCGUGGUCUCCUGCUCCACGGUCACGGCGUCCCCGUCAGAGUCAUCCCCCGGAUGCUGGAAGAUCUCUUCCUCUUCUUCCUCGUCCCAAGGCUCCAUGGGGGCGUACGACGGCGCGAUGCCAUGACGCGGCGGACGGGUGCUCUUGCGUGCGGUCAACCGGGUGCGAGCCAUCUAACAGAAAGAAAGAAGAAAAUUUUAGAAUAAAAUUUUGAACAAAGCUAGAUAAUAAAAUAGCAAUAAGGAUGAGACAAAUCAAGUUUAAGAAUAAUUAAGUAGAUUUAAAUUAAGAAAGGUAGGAAUGGCUACUAGAUUAUUAUAAUCCUUAAAUACGACCAUUUUCUAACUAGGCUAACGUCCUACAGUCAACACGGCUCUGGUACCACUUUUGUCACACCCGAUUUUAAGGACAAAAUCGAGUGCAUUAAAUACAUGUGCGCCAGGAUCAAGUUACACACAUGUACGACAAUAGUGAAUAGUAAAGCCAGUGCUAAAUCGAAUAAAGAGAGUAUUAACCAUUAUUACAUGACCGAAUGUCUCAAAUAAACCACAAAGUCUAAUUAUUACGCAGCGGAACUCCAAAGAUGACGACGACUCCAUAGGCAGCUGACUGAAGAAACGUACGCCUAGAACUCCUCGAAGUCGUGGAAGUACUCCUCUUCCCAAUUAACUUGGUCUGAACAGCGGUUUUGCAAGGGUGAGUACACUUAUGGUUGGUACUCAACAAGUCGUGGGAAGUAGUGUAGUGUAAGGCUAAUUCAAGGUAUGGCUAAGGCGUAAAUAGCAUUCGCUUUUAAUUAAGUUGGUCAAAUUUUAUUAGCAUUUACUAAGUAUAAGUUCAUACCACCCGAAAUUAAACAUGAACAUAAAGUAAACCACAUGUGCAUGAAAUGAUAACAAAUUAAAUCCAUCUUCCGAUAAUAUUAUCAUGUGAGGGUCCAGGCCGCUCUUAACCGUGAGCACGGCUGAUUGAUCAGUUUAACACUCUGCAGAGGUGGCACAUCUUUACCCACAAGUCGCGUAAAAGUUCAAAAGAACUUUGGACCCAACCAUGCGGUGUUUGCAAGGCACCAUACCACACUUCCGAGGUGUGAUUGCAUAGGGACGCUACGAGGCCUUUACAAAGAUUCAUUAAUCAGUGGUAACCCGCUAAGGUUUCGGUGUCUGGCGUGCACCACCCAUCCCAGGUAAAAUGCAACGACUCAGUCCCCCCCCUUGAAUCAUCACGAGUAAGGUCACCCCAGACUAAGGUUUCUAAUUAAUCAGCCAAGACCAGAGCUAUUUAGUCUUGUGGUAGCACUGUUUUCCUGGGUGGUCGCUCCAUGUUCUGAUUAACAAAUAAUGAUCUUGUCUUAAUGAAAGGUAUAACAGAAAUAAGGCAAGAUUAAGCAUUGUUUUUAGUUAAACCACCAUGUACCAAGUAAGCACUAAGCAUGAGCUACCCAACAUAAAGUAAACCGGUUGGUCAAGGCAAAGGUAAAACAAUCUAGGCCAACCUUAAUUGGGACCCAUCAAUUUAAUCUUAAUAUGUGCACAGCAUAAAUGUUGAGUACGAGAAAGUAAAGGUGUAUAGGACAAAAAGGUAGUGAUCAAGGACACGACUUGCCUUCUUGGCCUUGCUCCUGCUGUUCGUACUCCUCGAAGGCUUGAUCGGCAACUCCCUCGAACUGCGGGGCGUCUACACGCAUCACACGAGCACAUACAAGCAAACAUGGGCAAAAGUAAGAAAACAGUAUACCAAACAUAGUCAAACAGAGAAAACAAGCUUGAAAAGAUGAUCUACGCUUUAAAACGAACACGCGGAUAUAAAGAACGCGAAAAACGGAGUUAAGAUGCAAAAGAUAUGAUUAAAACAAAAUCCAGGGACUUUUCUGUAAGAAAAACAAAACUUUUAGGGCCUAUCCGCGAAAACCGAGGGCUUAUACGUAAUUAUGCGUAUAAACCGAGGGUCUGAUGCGUAAAAACAUCAAACCCGGACGGCGGGUUGAUUUCUGGAAAGGUCAAGGGUUAAACCGAAAAAUGCGAGGGCAGAUCUGUAAAUACUUUCAACGCGAUCUGGACCGCGGGUUGAUUUGCGAAAAAGGCGGGGGCUAAAGUGCAAAAACUGCACGGCGCGGCUCGGUUGACCGGUACGCGAUCUUGAUUGACUCGCGUCCGGCCGUCGGAUUAAGAUCCGACGGUCGCGGUGAUCCGCGACAUCGCGGCGGCGGCGGCGAGCGGCGGCGAGCGGCGGCAAGCGGCGGCGGGUCGCCGGAGUUAGGCAAAAUAGCGCCACGAGGCACGGUUUAACGCGCGGGUUGCACCAAAAAAGAGAGGGGAACACGUCGAUCCCGUUUUGGGGGUUCUUGUCGACGGGGGCUCACCGGCGACGGCGAACGGCGGCGAGGAAGAGGCGGCGGCGCUAGGAGCUCGGGCGGCUAGGGUUUCGGGGAGCUGCGGCGCUGGUUUUGGGCGGAGGAGACUGGGAGGAGGCGGCGGCUUUUAUAGGGCUUGGAGAUAGAGCCGGCGCGGGUUCAAAUCCCCCGGAGGAGUCGGAGCGGAUGGAGUCCGGGGCGGAGACGGCGCGCGGCGGUUGCGGAGUUCUGACCGGAUUCGGCCGGAGGUGGGAGACGAUGGGUGGGGUCCACCCGUCAGUGGCGGAGGGGAGCGGUAGACGGGCCGGCGCGACCGUGGGCUGGCGCGCGCUCGUGGGCUGCGGGGAGCGGGAGAGAAGCGGCGAGCGGGCGCUGGCGGAGCAGGCCGAGCGGAGGUAGAGCUGGGCCGCGGAGAAAAAGGAGGAGGCCGGCGGGCUGCUUCGCAGGCCGGUAAGGAUGAGGCGGCCGGGCCGAAGAAGAAAAAGAAAAGGAGGGACAAGGAGCUUUCGGCCGAGGGAAAAGAAGAAGAAAAAGAAAAGGAAGAAGAAAAGGGAAAAGGUUUUGGAAUUUGAAUUUAAAUCUGAAAUUCAAAAUUUGAUUCAAACUCAAGCAACCAAAAAUUAUGCUCCAGCAUGAAUGCACAAAUAAUUCCUAUGAUGAAUUAAUUGAAUUAAAGAAAAUGAAUUUAAAUGCCUAGAAAUUAAAUAACACCCUAAUUUGAGCAAAUUUUAAUGAAUUUGAAUUAUUGAAAUUUUGGGUGUUACAUUGGUACUACAUCUCAUGUAGUAGAGGCGAUUGUAAGAAGCAACUUGAAAAGAAGUUUGAUCACUACUAUUGCAAUAAAUGUGACAAGAGAGCCGAACCUAAAGCCCAGUAAAUUAUUUAGUAGUUUACAAUCUUAUUAUAAUACUUCUAUUUCUAAUAGGAGAAUAAUAUUUUCAGAUUCAAAUUAAGCUUCAAAUAAGUGAUCCAACAACAAGUGCAACUUGUGUACUUUUGACAAGGAAGCAGAAAUGAUAAUUAAUGAAUGAGCAGAUUCGAUGAUCACCUCAGUUGAUCAUGAUAAUAAGUAGCUACCAAAAUCAAUUCAGGAAAUAUGUGAAGAAACAUUGAUUUCUCAAUUCAGAUUGACCGAGUACAACUUGACAAGUUUUAGACCUGAUUAUACUGUUUCAAAGAUAUUUUUUCCAAAAGAAAAGGGCAGUUCAAGAAUUGGUAUGGAAAGUGUAAAAAAGGUAACACUUUAUUAUUAAUUUUUUAUUGCACUUUUUUCUUUUGAAUCCGUAAUACUUAAUAAUUUUACUAUAUCAAUGAAACAAAUUCUAACCUAAAUUUAUUUUCUUUUUUAUUAUUUGUAGGAAGUAGAAGACAACUCAGACAAAUGCUACACGAUAACUACCGAGAAUGAAGAGGUAGACACUGAUGACUCUUUUACCGAGAAAGUAACAUUCGUAGAAGAAGCCAUAAGGACUGGGGAAAGAUUGGCUAGAAAAGUAUACUCACUUCCAUGUCAGUGUUCAUUCUAUUUACAAUACAUGCAAAAAAAAUAUUAUUCAUGCAAAAUUGCAGGUCUACUAAGCAUUAAAGGAAUAGCGGAUAGUGCAAUAUGUAAUCUGAGCAGCAUGCAUUACAAAGUGCUCUACUGCAAUUAAAUUAAAAAACAUGAUAUAUGUUGAAUUCUUAGACUUUAUUAUUAUACUUUUCUACGUGACAAUUCACAAUUUUUUAGAAAAAAGAAGAUCCCAGAAGAAGUGACCAUGAAAAAAGGUCUAUGACCAGCAAUAAGAAAAAAUGCAAGCAUAGAAACAAAUCCGUAGAAAACAUAGAAAAUAAGGUACUCCAUAAACAAAAGUAUUCUCUUAUAUUUUUAUUAAAUAUUUUUUUAACACUUGACAAGUUCUUUUUUAGGAUCAAUAUAUCAGCAAUUCAGAUGUCAUUGGAGAUGAAACCUUAGUUCAUCCAAAAGGUCAAAAAAAAACAUCUGAAGAAAGGUGUUUGGCUGAAAAGGAAAAGCAAAAAAGUGGUAAUGCAGACAAACACAUGCAGAAAAAUAUAAAAACAUGUCAUAGGGAGGCAGACCAAUCUUGCAAGGAGGUAUAGACGAAACGUGAUACACGACCUGCCUACCUUGUCGUGGAUACCCCAAGAAGAUGUCAUAGAGGUGCAGACCAAGCUAGCAAGGAGGUCGAAACGUGAUACACGGCCUGCCUACCUUGCCGUGGAUAUUAGCCCUGAGAUCAUUCUACUGUUCAAGGAAUAACACUCAAUGCUGCUGCUGCUGCUGACCUGGCUCCAUAAAGUUAUACUCCUCUAGGUGCUUGCACUAACUUUAUCUGAAGUAUUAUUCUCUCUGCACUGUAUAUAUGGUUAUGGAGUUUGCUGGAGUAUCCGGGGCGAAGAACCUACAUAAUACGUCUUGGAACUAAUUGACAUUGAUUCACAGACAAACUCUACAAGGUGCUGUUCUUGCCAUUUUAGAGCAUCCAAAGGACUAUAAAUAACAUAGUUUACCAUAUACCAUAUACCAUAUACCAUAAUAUGUUAGCUAAAAUAAGAGCAUACACAUGUUGCAGGAGUCCAAAAGCACCGGUUGAGGACCAGGUACAUUGAAUUACUAGAAAAAGACAGGGGACAAGGUUUAGGUAACCACAUGAAACAUUUGAAUUUAUUGUACUAUGAACACUUAGUUACCAUGCCAGGAGCACAUAGUUAACACUAACAUUUAGCCACUUUAGAUCAUCCCGAAUCACCAAUGACCCUCAAUAGUGACAAAUUUUGGUUUAAAUGCCAUCACCAAUGAUCCUCAAUAGUGACGUAUUUAGGUUUAAAUCCCGUCACUAAUAACCCUCAAUAGUGACCUGUUUUGGUUUAAAUCUCAUUACCACUGAUCCUCAAUAGUGAUGUGUUUUAGCAAAACAUGUUAUCAAUGACUUGUCAUUGGUGACGUGUUAAAACGCGUUAUCUCAAUGGCAAAUCAUUGGUGACGUGUUAUCUCAAUGUUAUCAAUGUUCUAUUCUUUUCAACAAUACCAGCUCGUUCCUCCGUUUUUAUUCCACCAAUACAAGCACCACCUUGUAACAUUUCCUAUGUUUUUUUUCCUUUUGUCUGUUUUCUCACUACAUGCGUUGCUCUUUCAUGCAUUUUUUUCCAUUCCUGUAUUCCAAAUAGGUCUACAUGAACACAAAAUGAACUAGGGGACAGAAAAAGCCAGUGAAGCCAAUUUUGAGCUUCACCAGCUACUUGCUACAUAAAGUGUGCUAUAGUGACGUGUUUUAGCAAAACAUGUUAUCAAUGACUUGUCAUUGGUGACGUGUUAAAACGCGUUAUCUCACUGGCAAAUCAUUGGUGACGUGUUUUAAAAAAACAUGUCACCGUGAGAGUCAUUGGUGAAGGGUAAUUAAAAUGCGUCACUAAUGUUGUAGCAUUAGUUAUGAUAAUUUAGUAACGCAAAAAUCUACCAUCAGUAUUGAGCUUUAGAGCCAUCGCUAAUGUGGGUUUCUUACAUAGUGAUGCAAGCUCUACAAGGUGCUGUUGCUGCCAUUUUAAAGCAUCCCAUGACUACAUGUUAAUAACAUAGUUUACCAUAUAUCAUAAAAAUAUUAGUUACAAUAAGCACAUACGCAUGUGGAAGAGUCCGAAUGCACCGGUUGAGGACUAAACACAUUGAAUUACUAGAACCAAAUGUAUGUUUAGAACAAAGACAGGGGUCAAGGUUUGGGUAACCGCAUUAAAAACAUUGGAUUUUACUGUACAUGAACACUUAGUUACCAUUACCAUGCCUUGAGCACCUAGUUACAACAAACAUUAAUUUAGCCACUUUAGAGCUUCCAGAAUCGCUAUAAAUAAUAUACCUACGCCGUACCAUGAAAACAUCAAGAAGAGAGACGGAUACAUGGACCACCAUCAAGCGAGUAGUGACAGCACGCACAAGAAUACCCGGAACCUGUUAGCUUGUCUGUAGUGAUCUGUUUUCUUCCCCAUAAAAUCCAUGAGUAUUGCCACAAAUAAUGAAAGAGGCUGACCAAGCUAGCAAGGAGGUAGAGCAAACGUGAUACACGGCCUGCCAAGAUUGCCCUGGAUACGCCAAUAAGAGCGACAGAUACAUGGAUCACACCAAUAUGGUGAAACGUAUAUUCAUCACACAAGCAAAGCUGGUCAGUUUAUCCAUGGUCAAAUUGUGGUCUUUGUUUUCACUUGAGAGCUAAUUGAGGCACUAUAAUAUGGGCAGGCCUAUCUUCAACAGACAUGACAGCUACAGGGAACUUGACAUAAUUUGCUGGGCCGCCUGUGCACAAUUAUUUGUUUUAUUGUCCUUGCAUAGAAUGCUAAAAUACUCUUUACAAAAUGUUGGAUCUAAUAUUUGAAAUAUAGAGUAGUAAUCAUAUAUUGAUCAACAACUUGAAAUUAUCUGUACAUUCUCGGUGAAGCUGUUGAACUAAUUUUUGCAAAUUAUUAAUUCAUCUCAUUACGUAAAGAAAAAAGUAAGUGGAUAAGAUAUUUCGUGGACCACAUCACUGCAAACAUGUCAUGGAGAGACAGACCAAGGAGGCAGGACGUGAUACACGACUUACCCUAGGUUGCCGUGGAACCGCCAAGAAGAGAUACAGAUACAUGGACCACACCAUCUUGGGAGUAGUGACAGCAUAUAUGCAGAAGAAUACCCCGUGCCUAUUUGCAUGCAUGUCUCAAGUGAUCUGUUUUCUUCAGAAAAUACAUGAGCAUUGCCAGAAAGAAUGGCAAGAGACAAACAUGUCAUAGAGACUUGCAUGUCUUGCCUUGGAUACGCCAAGAAGAGGGACACAUACAUGGAUAACACAAAUCUAGUGACACGUAUAUUCAUCACAAAGGCAAAUCUGAUAAUUUUAUCCAUGGAGCAGACCAAGGAGAAAUUGAUGACGGACAUGUGAUCUCUGUAUUCAGUUGAAAGCUAAUUGAGCUACACUAAUAUGAGCAGGACUAUAUUCAAGAGACUUGUUGAGAGCUACAGGGAACUUGUAAUAAUUUGCUGGGCGGCCUGCGCACAAUGAUUUGUUAUACAUAGUUGAAAUAUUUCAAGAAUUUAUCAACCUCAUACUCUGAAACCCUUGGUGCAAUGUACUCUGCUUUCCGAGGUAGACUGUUCACGUAAAAUGAGGUCAUGCGUAAGACGGAAUCGGAUUGGAUUCACAGGGAAUCAGAUUUGGAUAGCACCUUUUAGCAGGUUUUUAGUCAAAUGCAAAUUCGGAUCCACAUGUGGUUGAAUGCGAGUUCAAAAUUCUACUUGGAUAUCCAUUUAAUUUAGGUGAUAGCAAUUAGCACAAAAUGUUGGAUGAACAAAAUCAUAGUUAGACAUACAAUUACAUGUAUGGUUAAAGUAUAAUACAAUACACCAAGAUUAUUCCUUGAAAAUAUUUCUUAAAAAUAUUAUAAUAAAUGAAUAAAUAUAAUUGUGGCCACCAACAAAUAGUCGGUGGUCGCUAAGUUGGAGCCAUUUCUGGUUACUAAUGCGGCCUUCUCCUCGACCAGCGACGACAGCUGAGCUUGUUCCUUCUGACACUAAAUCAUCAGAGUCUUCCCUCCACUACUAUAGAAUGCACCUUUAGCACCAAUUGGGAAAUCCCCUUCAGUAUUGGAUGCUGCAACCAGUGCUAUAUAUCAAAAUGGAGACUAAAAGCCUCGGUCUUGGGUACCGGUUGCAUAACGCAUUACUAAAGGAGGCAAAAGAGAAAUGUAACAAAAAAAAUAUUUUGAAUUCCAAGAAUGUUUCACUAUUCAAGAUGACUAGCUGAGAGUCAACAGACAAGAUACUAGGAAUGUGGGUGCUUGAAUGCAUUUGUACAGAGGUCAUACUAUUUACAAACUCUUCUAUGUUUCCAUAUGACUACCUACUUCAAUGUCACGCGAGCCAUUCAGCUGGACACAUGGCACACUAGCUUGCAUGUCGAAUCCAUGAUUAAUUAUUUGCACUUGUGAUCUCUUACCAGUAUUUGUCCAGACUAGAAACGUGCAACACAUUUUUAGGAUAUGGACACGCAUAUAUUUGGACUAGUAUACAGGUCACCUUUGGAUGCGUACAAGGAUGACCGGGAGGGACUAAUGGAUACAAGGAAGGGACCAUCAGGAUUAAUAUUGACAUAUGCCACAUGACAAUCUUCAUUGUCAUGCAAUCCCUAUCAACAAUCAUGGAAUCCCUAGUGUACUAAUCCCUGGAGGGUUGUGUGGAAAUUUAUUUUACCUUGCGGUGAAAAUCUCAUGAGCAGUCAUUAGUUAAGCUGACUAGCUGAGAUAUAAUAGACAAGCUAGUAAGAUUGGGAGCAUCAAUGCAUCCAUACAGGGUCACAAUAUCCUUUCCAUUCACUUUUAUAUAUAACCCUACGAAUACAAGUCCAACGAAAUGCGGGCCUUUCGAUCAAGAUAAAUUAAAUGGCCCACUUGUAUUUCUAAUCCAGGAUUAACUAUGCCCUCUGUUCAUCUCUUGCAAGCACGUGCAACACAUUUUCACGAUAUGGACAUGCAUGGAGGUUAUUAUACUGUUUGGACAAACUCUGAUGUGCCAUGACCUAAAUGCUUAGGGCCUGUUUGGUUUGAGUUGCUUAUUAUAAGCAACUUAAAGUUGCUUAAAGUUGCUUAUUUGAAGUUGCUUAUUUUUAGUCUAAACUGUUUGGAUACCCUUGCUUAUGAGCAUUGAAUGAGUUGGACAUUGUCAAAUUUGCCCCAUGUGUUGCUACCCCUCCAAUUUGCCUCCCCACCCUUCUUCUUCCUGCACACGUCCGAUCCCGGGGGCCGACGGCGGGCAGGGAGCAGCAGCAGCUGGCCAGGGCGGCGGUGGGGCGGGAGCGGCGGCGCACACCAGCACGCGCUCGCACGCCAGGUGCUAGGGCGCGGCGAGGCAGUCGUCGUAGCCCACCGGGAGCGGGUGCUCGGGCGCGAGGCGGUACUCGACGGAGAUGCCGAGCGUCGGGCGCGCGGCGGCGAGCGCGUUGAGGAAGCGAUGGUAGUGCGGCGACGUCGCGGACUCCGCCACGAAGCCGCCGCCGUGGACGUACACCACCACGGGCAGCUUCGUCUUGCCGUCGGCGGCCGCGGCCGCGGCCUGGGGUGGCAGGUAGAGGCGGACGGAGCAGGAGCCGAGGUCGACGUCCCUGGAGUCGACGCCCGUGGCGGCGUCCAGGCUGGGCCCGACCGGCGGCGGCACGAGCGGGCGCUCGAUGCGGCCGCUCUUGUAAAUCCGACGGGUCUGUGCGGAGGCGGGCGGCGGGCGGGAGCGGCGGGUGGGAGCGGCGGCAGGUGGUGCGGAGGCCGGCGGCGGCGGGUGGCGCGGAGGAAGGGGAGCUGGUGAGUGGUGACAGGGGAGGGGGGGAGAGAGAGGGGGGGUAGGGUGCAUUGAAUGAGGGCAGGAGGUGUAAAGUGCACCUUUUAGUCCCCAUGAGCAACCAUAAGCAGCCCAAGAGUUGCUUAUUUGCUUAUAAUAAGCAACCUCAUAAGCAAGAGUGAUUGGUUUCAUAAGCAACUUAUUUGCUUAUUUUAAGUUGCUUAUGCAUAAGCAUGUGAAACCAAGCAGGUCCUUAACCUAUGGUUGUGGCACCACACAGUACAUAGUAUUUAAUAAUGCUAUUCGUUUGGUAUGUGCACAAGGGCACGCAUGAAAUGUCUGGCCCACGGUAAACAAGUACGGACGCUGCAAAUAAUCUACUCUGCUCGUCCAGUCCCUAGCCUAUAAAUAGAUGCCAUGCUAGCUCUUGUUGUGCUCACAAUUAAUCCUGACUACACACGAGCUUCUCUCCCUGGCCAAGACACAAUCAUAGUAUGAUGAAGAACAUGGCACUAGCCGGCAAUGGUAUGAAGAACUUAAUCCUCGCUGUUCUCUUACUGUGUCUAGUUAUAGGGCAGAUACAAGUGGAAGCUAAGAGCUGCUGCCCAUCCAUUACUGCAAGAAAUAUCUACAAUGCCUGCCGUAUCACGGGUACAUCCCGUCCAACGUGUGCAAAACUGUCAGGCUGCAAAAUUAUCAGCGGGGACAAAUGCAAGCCCCCUAACGACCACCUCACCCUUGACCCGGACACUGGUAAAUAAUAAAUUUAUCUCACUUGAUUUCUUCGUGUUUUGAGUCGUUAAUGUAUUUUCCAUCUGAUGAAACGUAUUGGUUUUGCAUUGAAGAGGAAGUUAAUGUGCUUAACUUCUGCAAGUUGGGGUGUGCGUCGUCUGUGUGCAACAACAUCAACGCUGGUAAGCACCUUUUGCUCAGACGGAGAAAACAAUAAUCAUUAAUUAGCGGCAGCUAGAAUCCUAUAAUCUAAUAUAUUUAUAUAUAUAUAUAAUUUUAUCAGCUCUGGGAAAUGAAGAGGCGAACGAUGCCGUUGAGAGUUGCGACCAAGCCUGCUCUAGCUUCUGCAACGUGCACGUUGGCGCUGCCACCGUGGUUGCUUAAGCAAAUGCAUCCAACUGGAUCGUCCUUGUGCUAAAUAAUUGGAUAUCGUAUCCACUUAAAGCUGCCUUGUGUAGUACGUUUUUGUUUGUGUCUCUCUUUAUAUUCCAAUAAGGUCGGUGAUCUUGAUGCCACACACUCAGACGUGUGUUCAUCUCCAGAUACUACUCCAUGCUACCUGCCCUUUGUGUUUUGUUCAAUAACUGGGUAUCAUAUCCCAGCCAGUGUGCCAUCUGUUUUGUGUUUAUUUCCUUCUAGUUUCAAAGGGGUUAUCAUGAUGUUACCUUCUUUCGAUAUGGUGCUUUGCAUGACUACUGUUGUAUGGUACCAUCUUGUUGGCCAAUAAAUACAUCUUAUCCUAUGACC